This 73697-nucleotide long non-coding RNA is filed under the name Triticum aestivum (bread wheat). RNAcentral describes it as "long non-coding RNA (TAES_LNC005846)". Lineage: Eukaryota; Viridiplantae; Streptophyta; Magnoliopsida; Poales; Poaceae. The record is from RNAcentral.
UUGGGUCGACCUCGAAGGUUCGUGCCUUGGUACACAUAUAAGGCCAAUACGGACUCGCAUUACAGAAAAAACCGGCUCCCGCAUACAAUGGAGAAGGAAUAUAGAGAGUCGAGGAAAUCAUCGAUGCGGAGCACUGGGUACGUCAGACUGCAGCUUUUCAGGCAGUGGUGGUAGCAUCUCCAUUCUGAGCAUCCUCUACCUUGGUUUCCGGCCCAUCAGACACGUGAUUGUUAGCAUUUGCCUCUCCUGGUUCUGCUUUCCUCUUCCGGACCAGCUCCACAUCUGCUGAUCCAACUGGCUUUUCGUCGGCAUGAGAUGCUGGUUCUCUUGCCUUAGCCUCACUUGCAAGAGGAGCAGCCCAGGAUAUGGGGUUAACUGGGAGAAAAACACAAACAUGAGAUGGUCUGCACUUAACCAAAUUGGUUUUGAAAAGCACCUGAUAAAAUGCACCAAGCAACCGUUACCAAUUUCACGAAUCAAUGAAGGAAUACAUGUGCCAAGCAGUAUGGUUCAACUAGUGUCUUGACCAUGUGUACUAGCCAAUACUUCUCAAGCAGAUUAAAGGAAAAUAGUUUUGAGUUCUCACGUUAUAGUUGGAAUACUUGGAUGGAUAAUCAUAAUUCAUGACUACCAUUUACGACAAAGAUAUAAUCUAGCAAAGCAGUAAGAAAAACUUUAUAUAGUACUCCCUCCGUUUCCAAAUAUAAGUCUUUUUAGAGAUUCCAAUACAAAGAACAUACGGAUAUAUAUAGACAUAUUUUAGAGUGUAGAUUCACUCAUUUUGCUCCGCAUGUAGUCUCUUAUUGAAAUAUCUAAAAAGACUUAUAUUUAGGAACGGAGGGAGUAUAUUAUGCUUUAACAAAUCAUGAUGAGUUCAUUUACACAGCGUACACACCUUCCACUGGUUGAACAGGCUUAGUUGUUGCUUCAUCACUUGGACUUGCGUUCUUAGGGCGCUUUUUGACAUAGUUCUGCCGCAGAGGUCUAGGAAUCUGGAAGGAAAACUGAGCUAAUGUUACACCCUGUGCACCAUACUCUGGAUUUUCUUGGAGGUACCUGCAAAGUAUGGCAUAGAAAGUUUAGACCAUAGACAGAUGAGUCGCACGUAGCAAUUUUAGAGACAACAAAAGAGGCAGUAUUGACCAUGCACACAUGUUGUCAGCUACAGACCCUUAUCCACCGUUGGAUCAGAUAGGAGGUUUUUCAUCCAAUUCCCUUCUGUAGCACUACCCUAAAGCUGCAAGAGCCUCAUAGGCAAGCAGCCAAGCACACACACGCUCAUCGGCCCAUGCACCUGAGUUGAAUUUGUAAGCUUUUGCACGAUGUUGCAUACUUGCAUGACACAAAACUAAUUUGACACCAUGCAAUCAUUGGCGACUUUCAGUCUGUCCCCGUGCACAAAUUUGAACCUUUGAGUUUCUAGGGAUCCAUUAGUCCAAUAUUAUACGCUAUAAGAGGGAUCCCAUUAGUAUCAGCACAAAUAAGAGGGAACCCAUUAUCGUACGCCGUAUAAAAGAGAGGCGCCUUAAAGUGCAUCAUAGGGGGUAUGGUAGCGGUCUUAAUUAUUUGCCUAAAGUUUCCGGUUAAGUGUUCAUAGGGACCCACGCAUAAGACAGACUACAAAGCAGAAUGAUGUGCAUAGCUUCCCACAUAUGUGCAAAAUCUGUUUCUAGUUCACUAUGGAAUACCAUUUUAUGAAAAAUGGUUCAGGAGUUUGCAAUCCCAGUUCUCGUGUACCACUCAUAUGCAUAUAUAGAUAUUAUACUUCUUUAUCAAUUUAGAUGUACUCCGUUAGUAGUAACUAGGUACUUAUUAAUUGCAAUGUCCAGUUAUAAAAUAUGGAGAAGAAAGCAGCAUAAGAUUUGCAAUACAAGUGCUACUUCAUGUUUUGACUUCAGACACAAAUUUAAGGAAAUAAAUUACAGCUCAACAGAUGAAGAUUGAUGUUGAAAGGGACAUUUUGAGUAAAUUUGCAUCACGUACCGAUCAACUUCAACCAGUGAUCUCAGCUUCCUCGAAGUAGGAGAAGUGUAGUACCUGAAACCAAGAUAAAGGGCAUUACGGUAAUUACAGCAGCUGUAGCAAGGGUACAUGUUACAUUACAAUAAUGAAAUGAGGUUUUUUAGGACAGAUAUUGUCUAUUACUCCCUCUGACGUUUUAAGUCUUUAGUGACCUAAAAUGUCUUACAUUUGUUUACAGAGGGAGUAUAUCAUUACAAGAAUGUUAAAAAUGCAAGCCCAGAAAUUUCCACAUUAAUCAAGAGGACAAGAGAAGAUCUACCCUACCUAUUUUGGUGGGUCCAAAAUUAUGACCAUGUAGAUUUAUUAGUUUAUUUGUGCAACCCUUAUCAUUUGCUAAAUUCAGCAGAAGGUAGAUGAUUUAAUUUACCACCAAAAUAUACCAUUUGAAUGAAAAUGGAAUGCUGUUCUGGAACAACAUGAAAUGUCCGUUAACUAAAGCCUCUCAUCUUUGCAGCCUAUAUUACUUGUGUGAUGAGAACUAAGUGGAUCUUUCCACCUAUUCUACGUUUUCAACCGCCUUCUGUCGCCUUAAUUUCCAUAUGCGCCAUACAUGAAUCCAAUCAGCAGUUGUUUUUAGUGAUGCUGCCGGAUCAACUAAAGUUAUUGGUCUCCUCUCCAAUAAUCGAUAGCAAUGUCAACGCGAAAAAAUCUCCUCGAGAAAGAUGUUUACACCGCAAAAUGUCAUCAUGGAGUGUCAAACUGAUAGGCUGUCAGCAUAAACUAAUCCUUUUAUGAACUUGCUUCAGAAUAGAAUCAGGAGUUCAGGACAGCACUGAAACCUAGACUGACCAUGCCAAUGCACUAUUAGCCAAGUGGCCAACUUACAAGGGGCUGGCAAAACUUCAAGGGAUGGCAAAAACUGAAAAAAUGUGCGGUAUGAUUCACUGAUGCAGAAAAUCAGUACUCCGCGGCUCAACACAUAGAAGACUAAUUAUUCCCAGCCUCAAGAAGGCGACUACAGAAACAUGUCGAUAAUAAAUGGGCUCUCAUGCUUACGGCCAUAUUUCCUUGGUUCAUCCGAAGUAACAAGAAGCAGCAGAAUUGGCUCUUUCAUACAAGUUAUGCACCGCCAAAGAUGCUAAGGGUAACUAAGCAACUAGUGUGAUAUAAACUAGCACAAACUAAGCAUCCAUACAACAAUCUAACAUUUUGAUGCGGAAAGGUCCCCUUCACUUCCCUGGAGUUCAGGGGGGGUCAACUCGGAGAUCACCGUUAGGAAAAAGUAACAUGAUAUGCUUGGUAGUUUCUAUAUUCCCGACUUGAACUCUUCGUAACUGAGACAUAAAUGGUUUAUGUGUGCAACUUAGAAAAGGUGUGGUGUAGAAUGUGCGGGUUAAUUGGCUGAUUUUCUGUUAUUUCCAUGCGCAUUAAAAACUGAUUUUAACAUAUAGAGAUAAAGUGGCAGGCAAUUAAAAAAAAUCAAUGUACUUGCAGAAAUAGCCUGACAAGUAAAUAAAGGCAGUGACAGAAAAGCAUCACUCACACAUCAGCAAAUUUGGUGCCUCCUUCACCUCUUAUUCUAAUCUGCCUUUCCCAUCCAGCAGGAGGCUGUGCAAUAUUGGGUUUGUCGAUAGCCCAGAGUCUGCUUCCAUCCUGAGAAAUAUCUUCUUGAUCAUCGCAUGUUACAUCAGGUUUCCAUUCACGGGCUCGUUCGCAGUCAAAAGGUUCCUGUAUAAUAUGCUCGCGUAUUUCUUCAUACUUCUCUUUCGUUGGAAUAAGUCUCCAUUUGAAGCACCUAGCACAUUGGAUAGUGAAUGCCCCAAUACAUGGCGAUCCACGGUAUGACACGUUGGAAGCAGCUGAUUGCUGCAAUGGGGAACUGUCUUCUCCAAAUUCAUCUUGCACUUUAUCUACUGUUUCAAACUUCAAACCAGGCGUUUUAUCUGAUGCAGUUUCAGACGGAAGCUCGUCAUUCUCAAAUUGGUGGCCGUCUGUACCAGACAAACUAGUACGGCUCUUCUUCAAUGGUUGGGGAGAUUUAGAACUGUCCAUAGGUUCUGCAAGAGAUUGCCUGCACAACUUCCAAAUUAUUAGGGCCUAAGUACCUGCAGUUGGUAUCCAUAAUCAUAAGAACUCCGUGAUGUAACAAAUAUGAUGUGGAUGCAAAUUUAAUAGAAAGCAGAUGCCCAGCCCACUGAUAGAUAUCAACAAGAAGAUAACUCGAAUUAACUGCACAAAAAAGCUAAACAAAAUGAAGUUGUUCUGUCUUCCAACAAUAAUUUUGAACGUUGUCCAACUAUGUGUGAUAAUACCAGUAUUAGCCACGAGGCUCCCAAGUACAUAAUGAUCACGUAAGUGUAACUUGGAUGAAAUAUUACAAUCAUUGUGCAAAUUACAUGCUCAGCCUUUGGACAAGUGUAAACAAUAGAGUGAACAGAGAAUGUUGCACAUGAGAUCGGAUAAUUUUUACUUCUGUAAUACAAUAGAAACGUAAAAACCAGAUAGAGAUGGACUUGUUCCGAACCCACACAAAUUUAGAACGGAUAACCAAGUGAAACAUGAUCGUUUACUAAUCAAUAAAAAUUUCUUCAGGUGCAUUUGCUAACCCAAGUUUGGUCUAAUUUAUACUGUAUACUGUAGUACGUAUAACACCCAAGAAAACCAUCAUGUUCCAAAAAUACUUAUCAUUUUUCAAAGGAAAACAAUACUCCCUCCAUCCCAUAAUAUAAGAUGUUAUUACAAUUGAUAUAUGAGUCUAUUGGUUGUAAUAACAUCUUAUAUUAUGGGACGGAGGGAGUACAUAUGAUUUUUCAAGUUUUCAAUCCCAAUAUUUAAAAUGAUAUUAGCAAACUGGCAGUCAAAGUUUUUUUUUUUACUGAAGGUAUGUCCAAAACGCCCCUUAUUUGUGAACUGGGGGUAGUAGUUCAACAAUAAUGCAGUAACUUUAAGCCUCAGCUUAGCACACAAAUUUGCAAUCUUCUUGGUUUCCCUUUACAACAGAUGAACAGGCUGUCAGUUGCAGAUAUUUUUCUUCACACUUCCAAAUCAUCCUUCAACAAGUCCUAUUUUACUAUAACAUGUUAACAUCUAUAACUUCACAGUGGGUGUAACAGAAAAGAAAUUUCAGUUGUCAGAGACACCUACAUGAAAGUAACUUGAAUUGCAGUGCAGGUCACUGCAGAGCAACACAAGCAUCACUCCAACUAACAAACCAGAUUGUUUUAGUAGAUUGGUCCAUGUAUACAUGCAUAUGCUCCCACACGCCAGUCCUCAGGACCAAGCAUCUGUAAUGACACUUUCCAUGGUGGGGGCGUUUGUUUGGCUAGAAACAAGUACAACAGGGUCAGGUGAGGCUAAAGGAGGAGCAUACAGAGUGGGAGUUUGGAAGUCAGGACGGUAGUAGCAACUAUAAAAUAUAUGGUUUGGAGAGUCGAUUCUGCAGAUGCAACCAUGGAUGGGAAUGUAAUUGAUAAAAUGCUAAUCUGGAAUCCAGAGGAAUGUGGAUGAGAAGUGCGCAUGAGGAAAGGGCCAACAGUGAUGCCAGUGCUAGAGUUUUAGAUUUACAAUAUCGCUUAGUAGCUGCUUCUAUAACUAGUGGAUUCAUAAAUAUAUCCAUCGUUUUGCCAAGUCAUGUCUGUGUUACUAAGAUGGCUAGUAAAUGGUGUGUGCAUAGCACGUAGGGGCAAAGUGCUUAAGAAUUUACAACACUCGAAACAAUUAUAUAUAUAAUUUUUCUGGAACUUUUUUAAUUGACCAUACUAAUUUUGCUUCCUUUCGUAAGAAUUGGAUGAGUGUAGAAUGUCAAAGUACGGUAGGCGUGAUUCAAAAUGUAGCAUGAAUACCCAGCCAAGUGUAACGCAGAACUGCUGCUAUAUGCACGAAGACAGCAGAUUGUGCUCCGGUGCAUCGUAGCUGACUGUCAUUAACCACUUUUAUUUAUUUUAGCUAUUCACUAGUACUCUGUAUGGGCCAACAGGGCAGGAAGCACGGUAGUGCAGUUCAAUUGUGGUGUAGGCUUGUGAGUCGUUUCGACUGCCUUUUCCGCAUGUGGGACCAGUGCUCUGUGCGAACGCAAGCCGUCAGAUGAAAUACAAACACAGCCCACAUUGCAGGGAUUCGCUCAUGUCUCACCGUCCGAUUCAUUCAAUCAAUGGCCAAAACUGCUCCUACUUUAGCAGGAACACCUUAGAUGCAGGCUAAAUCCAGAUUCAACAACUGGUGUACUAUAUAUAGGUUAAACAAUCUGGGCGGCUUAAGCGAACUGACUAGGUUAGAACACAAAGCACUCGCCGCAAUUACACUUUCCACUACUACGUAUGUACCAAUAGCUAGAGCCCGAUCUGGCAAUGCAGUACCUUCGCCCGCUGCUGCAUCCUGUCCAGCCGGCCACCGCCCGGAUCAAUGACAACAAGGCGGCAGAUCUGGAAAGGAGGGAAGCGGGGGCGACGAUUCCAGCGACUGGAAGGCUUUGUUUUGGCGGCAACGGUGCCCGCCGACGGACUCGCCAGAGGCGGCUUCAAUUCACUAUAUUGUGGGGUUUUGAGCUUCACUGUCUUAAUAGGUUCAACAAAAGCAUGCACAUCGCGCACGCAUGAAUACCCCCGACACGCUGAAUGUUUGUCGGUAUCCACAGCAGUCAAGGAAAUUUGUACACAAUAAGCAGAUCUCCGCACCAGAGAGGGGCGGAUCUAGAUGGUGCGUUGGGUGUGCGCCCGGAAGCUGCCAAGGCCGGUGGGAUUUAACUAAUCGCUGGAUGAAAACAACCUCGUACCUCGAAACCUAAUGCCUGGCGAUGCCGCGAAAGGGAACGCCGAAUGGCUCGCGAUCUCCCGACGGGGAAGGACGGGAAAGGGACGCGCGCGUGAGAGCCGGGGGUGCUGAGAGAGGGGGGCGGGGUCGGGGCAGUUGACGGCGACGCUAGGGUGCGGGCACGGCGGCAGCUCUGGGGCGCGGUGUAGGCUACGGGGGAGCUUUAGACCGUGCCGCCGUGCUGCUAGGUCAUGGACUCGGGAUGGGAGAUAGAGCAAAGGUGCGGGGAAGGGGAGUACCUCUGAGGAGAGAUCGAGGCCGGUACGGGCGGCUGGCGGUAGGGGUUGGAGAGCUCCGGUGGUGGUCGCCGCCGGCGGCGGCGGAUGGGUUGGGGGAUUAGAGGGCUGACUAGCCUUCUCCGUCCGCCUGCGUGACGCACUCACGCCCGAUCGGCCUGAAAAUAAAGCACGCGACCUGGUCCAAAUGAGAAAAAAUCCAGCCCAGGUGAAGAGAGAGAAAAAAAAACUCAGAGGCUUGUGAGGCCAACUCCACCGCGCGACCCUAUCACGUCCACCCCCGUCCGUUUGGGGUAAAACGGACCAAUAGCACACCCCAGCGCACGGCCUCAAACGGACAAAUGUUCGGAUUCCGUCCGUUUUCGACCCAUCCCGGCCCAAACUUGCGCUCGGUUUGGGGUGAAACGGACGCGCGCGGACGGCUUGGACGCACGCCCUUGUCCCCCCUGCCCCGCCUGUCGGGGACACUAGCAGUCCCUUCGCUCCCAAACGCUUCCACCCUCUCUCUCUCGCCCCGCCCCACCGUCACCGCCGCCGCUAUUCUUCGGCCGCCUCCUCACCGCGCAGCCUCCGGCCGUCCCUACCAAACCACUUCUCGACAUGGCUGCCACCACGCCCGUGCUGUGGCCGUAGUUUUGGCCGUCGAUCGGAGGUUUGGCCGUCGACAUCUUUGCCGGCCGCAGAGGGGACAGGACCGCCGGCGACGCAGCACGGCGUCCUCGGCAGCUCCCGACGAGAGCUCCACAGCGGCCAGUAGCCGGCCGGCAACCAUCCCUGGUGCGUCGAGGUGAUCUUCGCCACCACGCCCGCAGGGUGUUCGGCAUUUUGCCCACAAAGGUAUGGACAGUGGAGAUGAGUUUUUCUUCCAUCACUUUCUUUGUUCAUCGGACGAUUCGUCGUCGGAUGAUGAAGAUAUUGUGGUGGAUGCACUGGUCGUUCACGACCACAUUCAACGGCAGCUUCCUCGGUACAGGGGGCCACUCUCUGGUCGUGCUCCCAACCUGAACCGCAACAGGGAGAGAGGGCACGCCCUGCUCUAUGCCGAUUACUUUGCCAACACCCCGCUCUUCAAGCCGAAUAAAUUCCGUUGCCAUUUUCGAAUGGCAAGGCAUGUGUUCAAUCGUAUCCGAGAGGGAGUGGUUGCUCAUGACCCAUACUUCGAGUGCAAGACGGAUGCCCUUGGCAAGCUUGGAUUCUCCUCUUACCAGAAAUGCACCGCGGCCAUCCGCAUGCUUGCAUAUGGAAUUCCAGGCGAUCUGGUGGAUGAGUAUGUGCGUAUGAGUGAGACAACAUGUCUGAUGUCAAUGUACAAGUUUUGCCAGGCUGUGAUCGAGGUGUUUGGCCCAGAGUACUUGAGGCAGCCAACUGCCGCUGAUACAGAGAGAUUGUUGGCGACCAACGCAGCUAGAGGCUUUCCAGGCAUGCUUAGCAGCAUAGAUUGUAUGCACUGGGAGUGGCAGAACUGUCCAUUUCCUUGGCAGGGCCAGUACAAAGGGCAUGUCAAGGCGUGCACUGUCAUAUUAGAAGCGGUGGCAUCACAGGAUCUUUGGAUAUGGCAUUCUUUCUUCGGCAUGGCAGGUUCUCACAAUGAUAUCAACGUGCUGCAGCAUUCUCCAGUCUUCGCGAGGUUUGCAGAAGGCCACUCCCCACCUGUCAACUUUGAGAGCAACGGCCACCAUUACAACAAGGGAUACUAUCUAGCAGAUGGUAUAUAUCCUCAGUGGUCAACUUUUGUGAAGACAAUCUCGAAACCCCAAGGUGAGAAGAGAAAGAGAUUUGGCCAAAUGCAAGAGAGUGUUAGAAAGGAUGUGGAACGUACUUUUGGUGUGCUUCAAUCGCGGUGAGGUAUCGUUCGAAACCCUACACUAUCAUGGGAUGAAAGGAAGCUUUGGGAGGUGAUGACUGCUUGUGUGAUCAUGCACAACAUGAUCGUCGAGGACGAGCGUGAUGAGAGUAUCUUCGACCAAGGAUUUGACUAUCAAGGUGAAAAUAUUGAGCCCCUACAUCAAGACCCGGCCACAUUUGAACAGUUUGCUCAAUUCCAUCGUGAGAUGCGUGAUUGGCACUCUCAUUUGAAUCUUCAAAAUGACUUGGUUGAGCACGUGUGGGAUCACAUUGGCAACCAAUAGAUGUAUUGGUCCAUUUUAUGUUUAGUCAAGACAAUUUCGAUUUGGUUGUAAAAAUAUUUUAUUAAAGACAAUUUCAAUUGGGUUGUAAAACUAUUUUAAUUUUCAGACAAAUAUUUGGGUUGUAAACUAGUUUUGAUGAAAAUUUAGGCAUUUUUGGCCCUGACGGACAGGAUAUGACAAAAGGAUGCGUCCGCGCGGUGGGCGCACGGCCACCGCAUCCCAGGACACGUCCGGACACGACCCCAAAUCGCUACCCAAAUAGACAAAAUCCGGACAAAAUGGACGUCCGUUUGGGGUCGCGUGGUGGAGUUGGCCUGAGGGCGUCUCCAACCCUCACCCGCAAACCGGCAUCGGAUGGUAUAGCCGGUCAUCCGACACUAUCUGUAUACUCCUACAUUCCAAGUCGUAUUUCAACAUGAUGCAAAAUCUAUCAAACACAACGAGAUUUAUCAAAAUUCGGAUAGAAAAUAGCAUAAAUCAUUCAUACUUCCUCCGUUUCUAAAUAUAAGUCUUUUUAGGGAUUUGAAUAUGGACUGCAUACGGAGGAAUACAAACGUAUUUUAGAGUGUAGAUUCACUCAUUUUGCUCCAUAUGUAGUCUAUAUUAGAAUCUCUAAAAAGGCUUAUAUUUAUGAACGGAGGAAGUACAUGUACAAAUAUGAACUAUUGUUGAUUGUUGAAACAUCUUCAUAUGCAAAUAAGUCUAAUAUAACAAUAGUUCAUAUUCAGCGAGGAAUGGUUCAGAUUCAACUGGAUUAACCGAAUGUUCCACAAGUUUUUCAUGAGCGGGUCAUGUCCUCCCACACACACUGCCCCUUGAGCUUCAUCCAACCAUAUAUGUGUGUAAAUGGUUGCCCUCUAUCUCGUGGUACAUCACGACAAUGCCUGGGUGGUGGACAGAGAGGUACAUCAUCGUCGGAGGAGGAGGUGAACAACAUGUAACGUUAAUGACCCCUCCCCCCCAAGGCAAUGAUAUCCUUAUCCUAUCUAUUUUGGCGGUGGUACUGAUUCAAAACAUGCGCUGAAAUGUUUCAUUAUCUUGCUCUAUUCCUUUGUUCUUGCAAGAGAAAAUCCAUAAGAAAUGGAUCUAAAAUUCUAUACUUCUCUGAGGAGAAUUAUGCCCACCUGCCCUGAAAUGUUUUGUUCUUCUGCUUUGAUAUUAUUCGCCAAUCUAGCUUGCAGAAGAAGAUACUUCAAUAGAUAUCUCUGACUUGCUCCGAAAUAUUAUUGCUCUUUUGCUUUGAUGUUUUUCUUUCGACGAGCUAACUUGCAGAAGAAUAUUUUUGAUAUGAAAUGCUUCAUUUUCUCUGCCCUGAUAUUACUUUUGUCAAUCUAACUUGCAGGGGAAAUUCUUCAGAAGAUAUUUUCGACAAACAUUGAAACUUCUUAGUUCUUCUACUCUAUUACCUUGUAUCAUUAUUUCUUGCAGAAGAAAAUCUGUCAGAAGUGAAUCUACAAACUAUGAUAAUCCGAGGAAAACAUCACUCCUUAUUUCUACAGCAAAUCAUUUCAAAGUCUUUGUAUUCUUGAAUAAAUAUUUUUCAAGGGCUUUGUCUUGCAGGAAAAUAUAUUUCUCAGAUAUCACCAAAUGCAUUGAUUGAUCUCACUCAAUCGAAUCAUCUCUCAACACAUGUAGGAUUUUCACUCUAGGAAAAUCUUCACUAAGAUGAAUACAUUAGGGGGGCAUAUUUUAUCUUCGGAUAUUCUCUCAGCACAUGUUUUCCUGCACAUUAUCAGUUACCCUUACAAAUACCCUUUCGAUGUGUUCUGUUUUGUCAGCAAUCAUCCAAAAAGGGGGAGAUUGUUGCUGCAAUGUCUUCCCCCCUUGUGUUUUGAAGAUUGCUAUCAAAUACAGUAAUGGACUGAUUUGUGUGCUAGUGUACAUUGAGAGAAAUGGUCCAUCACUACUGGAAAUAGAGAAUUUGCCAUUAGUCAGCUCAGGUCUUUGUCGUCUGCUUAUAAAAAACGGACGGCAAAGACUUGGCUGACGGCGAAGAGGCUAGUUGCCAUCAGCCAGUUUUUUGCCAUCCGUCAGCUGACGACAAAGAGGUGGGUGGGUUCCAGUGGAGGCCUAAACCCUAACAGCCCACCAACCCCACCUCAUUGUCGUCCGCCAGCUGACGGCAAAGAAUCUUUGCCAUCUGCCGGCGAACGGCAAAGAAUUAAGUAUCUAACGGCCGUCCCGCCCCCUCCUCUCUAUCUUCCUUCCCGACCCCCCACCCCAAUUAACCGCCACCGUCCACCGCGCCCCCGACCCCCACCGCACCCCUGCCGCCUUGCCNNNNNNNNNNNNNNNNNNNNNNNNNNNNNNNNNNNNNNNNNNNNNNNNNNNNNNNNNNNNNNNNNNNNNNNNNNNNNNNNNNNNNNNNNNNNNNNNNNNNNNNNNNNNNNNNNNNNNNNNNNNNNNNNNNNNNNNNNNNNNNNNNNNNNNNNNNNNNNNNNNNNNNNNNNNNNNNNNNNNNNNNNNNNNNNNNNNNNNNNNNNNNNNNNNNNNNNNNNNNNNNNNNNNNNNNNNNNNNNNNNNNNNNNNNNNNNNNNNNNNNNNNNNNNNNNNNNNNNNNNNNNNNNNNNNNNNNNNNNNNNNNNNNNNNNNNNNNNNNNNNNNNNNNNNNNNNNNNNNNNNNNNNNNNNNNNNNNNNNNNNNNNNNNNNNNNNNNNNNNNNNNNNNNNNNNNNNNNNNNNNCCCGCCGCCUACAAGAGUCAAAGUAUUCUUCCCUAUUCCUUUUUAUUUUCUCUUUUUGCAAGCACCAUGUGGUGAGGAAAGAUCUAGGCACAUAUAUCCAGUUGGAUAUGGGUGGGCAUGAGUUAUUAUUGUUGACAUCACCCUUGAGGUGAAUACGUUGGGAGGCGAAAAUAUAAGCCCCUAUCUUUCUAUGUGUCCGGUUGAAACUUUUUGCUCAUGUGUAUGCGGUGAGUGUUGGCAAUCAUAGAAGACUAUAUGAUGGUUGAGUAUGUGGACUUCCCAAAAGGCUCUGAUACAUGACCCUUCCUGAAAAGAUGAUGAAUUGUAGUUGCAAAGUUGACUGAGAACAUAGUUUGUUGGUUUUCAAUAAGGUUUAUGCUUUAUACUUCAAAGUUGUAAUGAAUUGUUACUUGCUCAUGAGAAGUUAUAUCAUAAAAGUCAUGUGAUAAAGUUUAAUGAUAAAGUUUGUUGUUGUUAUAAUAAUACGCAUGAUGCUUCUAUGUCCGUAUUAUGUUUUUAUCAACACCUCUCUCUCUCUCUAAACAUGUGGACAUGUUUUUCGAUUUCGGUUUUCGCUUGAGGACAAGCGAGGUCUAAGCUUAGCGGAGUUGAUACGUCCAUUUUGCAUCAUGUUUUCAUACUGUUAUUUACAAUGUUUUUAUGCAUAAUAAUGUCUUUUGGAGUAUUUCUAAUGCAUUUUCUCUCAUAAUAUGCAAGGUUUACACAAAGAGGGAGAAUGUCGAUAGCUGGAAUUCUGGAUCUAAAAAAGCUACGUCAGAGUUACCUAUCUGAUCGGCUGCCGAUAGGAAUCUCAGCAGCAGUUGGGCCCGCGCCAUGGCCUCCGAAGCGGUACUUGGCAUAGGCGAUGAUGAUGUGGACCGCAACAUCGCCCGGCUCCCGACGGUGCCGGCGGUGGCUGUGUCGGGCUCCCGUCGCCGGGAGCCAGUCGCUUGGAUGGCGUGGUGACGAAGUGGUGGCACGUGUGGACCAGUGACCCCAUUCGGAGCGUUGGCUAGGCUAGUUUGCUCCGGGGGUGGUGCAUGUCCGGCAACCGCGCCCGCGACGGGGGCGGCCGAAGGAUUGCGAUUCGCCUCAGGGCGAACGUCACCGCCGUGGCUAUGUCCCUCGGCUAGGGAGGGAGGGACAAAAUGAAUAAUCUCUCUACCCGUACCUCAUGGAGCGUGGUCGCCAGGAUGUUUUUGGUGUUGUCCUUCUCCGAUGCCUCCCGCUCCUUCUUCGGCCGUGGGAGAUGUGGUGAUGAUGCCGCCUGUGCCAACCACGUCCCUCGCAGUGCCUGCAUCCUCAUGCGUCUCCGCAUUCCACGCGGCGUUGGCGGUCGCGGGCGUCGAGGCCUUCGAGGGGACGGGUGAGCUACAACACUGGGAUUCUUCUUGGGCGCCAUAGUCGAUGGAGCCGUUGACGAUGAAAAUGGCGAUGAAGAUGACGCGCUGCUUACGCUCUCGGGUUCGCGCAAGUGAUCCCCCUACCUGGCGCGCCAAAGAUGUGGUGGGAAACCACGAGCACCUAUGGGGCCAUGAGCCCCUUUUUGGUCCGGCGGGGGACGGACAUGUUGCACGAAGAGCGGAGAAGCGCAACAUAACACGACAGAGAUCACAUGGGCAGUUUUACCCAGGUUCAGGCCGCUGUGAGGUGUAAAACCCGACUCCUACUUUGGUGGAUUGAUGGUGGAGAACGUGGUGCUCUUGCCCGGCAAGGUUGCCUCGGGGAGAGAGUGGCUACGCGCGUAUGAAUGUGUGAGGGUCCGAAUCCUUCCUACAGUUUCCAUGGGCCUCCUUUUAUAGAUAAAGGGGUCACCACAGUGGAAAAUUGAUACGUCUCCAACGUAUCUAUAAUUGUUGAUUGUUCCAUGCUAUUAUAUUAUCUGUCUUUGAUGUUAAUGGGCUUAUUUAUACACUUCUAUAUUAUUUUUGGGACUAACCUACUAACCCAAGGCCCAGCGCAAAUUGCUGUUUUUUUGCCUAUUUCAGUGUUUCGCAGAAAAGGAAUAUCAAACGGAAUCCAAACGGAAUGAAACCUUUGGGAGAGUUAUUUUUGGAACAAAUCCAGAGGACUUGGAGUGGACGUCAAGCAACCAACAAGGAGGCCACGAGGCAGGGGGGCGCGCCUACCCCCGGGCGCGCCCUUCACCCACGUGGGCCCCUCGUGGCUCCACCGACCUACUUUUUCCUCCUAUAUAUGUCCACAUACCCCGAAAACAUCCAGGAGCACCACGAAACCCUAUUUCCACCGCCGCAACCUUCUGUACCCAAGAGAUCCCAUCGGAUCUCGAUCACGAAGGGCUUAUACAUCAACACCAUAGCCUCUCCGAUGCUGUGUGAGUAGUUUACCUCAGACCUUCGGGUCCAUAGUUAUUAGCUAGAUGGCUUCUUCUCUCUCUUUGGAUCUCAAUACAAUGUUCUCCUCGAUAUUCUUGGAGAUCUAUUUGAUGUAACUCUUUUUGCGGUGUGUUUGUCGAGAUCCGAUGAAUUGUGGGUUUAUGAUAAAGUUUAUCUAUGAACAAUAUUUGAUUCUUCUCUGAAAUCUUUUAUGUAUGAUUGGUUAUCUUUGCAAGUCUCUUUGAAUUAUCAGUUUGGUUUGGCCUACUAGAUUGAUCUUUCUUGCAAUGGGAGAAGUGCUUAGCUUUGGGUUCAAUCUUGCGGUGUCCUUUCCCAGUGACAGCAGGGGCAGCAAAGCACGUAUUGUAUUGUUGCCAUCGAGGAUAAAUGUUGGGGAACGUAGUAAUUUCCAAAAAAUUCCUACGCACAUGCAAGAUCAUAGUGAUGCAUGGCAAUGAGAGGGGAGAGUAUCGUCUACAUACCCUCGUAGACCGUAAGCGGAAGCGUUAUGAGAAUGCGGUUGAUGUAGUCGUACCGUCUUCACGAUCCGGCCGAUCCAAGUAUCGAACGUACGGCACCUCCGAGUUCAGCACACGUUCAGCUCGGUGAUGUCCCACGAACUCCGAUCCAGCAGAGCUUCGAGGGAGAGUUCUGUCAGCAUGACGGCGUGAUGACGGUGAUGAUGAUGCUACCGACGCAGGGCUUUGCCUAAGCACCGCUAUGAUAUAACCGAGGUGGAUUAUGGUGGAGAGGGGCACCGCACACGGCUUGGAACAAUCAACUUGUGUGUCUAUGGGGUGCCCCCUGGCCACGUAUAUAAAGGAGCAAGGGGAGGGGGCCGGCGGCCUCAUAGGGUGCGCCCAAAGGGGGGAAUCCUACUCCUACUAGGAGUAGGUUCCCCCUUUCCUAGUCCAACUAGGAGGGGAAGGAAAGAGAAGGAGAUGAGAAGGAAAGAGGGGGCCGCCCCCAAAGCCCUAAACCAAUUCGGUUUGGGCCUAGGGGGGCGCACCACACACUUCCUUGCUGCCCUCUAUUUCCACUAAAGCUCACGAAGGCCCAUUGACCCUCCCGGUGAAUUUCCCUAACUCUCCGGUACUCCGAAAAAUACCCGAAUCACUCGGAACCUUUUCGAUGUCCGAAUAUAGUCGUCCAAUAUAUCGAUCUUUAUGUCUCGACCAUUUCGAGACUCCUCGUCAUGUCCCCGAUGUCAUCCGGGACUCCGAACUACCCUCGAUACAUCAAAACACAUAAACUCAUAAUAUCGAUCGUCACCGAACGUUAAGCAUGCGGACCCUACGGGUUCGAGAACUACGUAGACAUGACCGAGACACGUCUCCGGUCAAUAACCAAUAGCAGAACCUCGAUGUUCAUAUUAGCUCCUACAUAUUCUACGAAGAUCUUUAUCGGUCAAACCACAUAACAACAUACGUUGUUCCCUUUGUCAUCGGUAUGUUACUUGCCCGAGAUUCGAUCGUCGGUAUCUCAAUACCUAGUUCAAUCUCGUUACCGGCAAGUCUCUUUACUCGUUCCGUAAUGCAUCAUCCCCCAACUAACUCGUUAGUCACAUUGCUUGCAAGGCUUAUAGUGAUGUGCAUUGCCGAGAGGGCCUAGAGAUACCUCUCCGACAAUCGGAGUGACAAAUCCUAAUCUCGAUCUAUGCCAACUCAACAAGUACCAUCGAAGACACCUGUAGAGCACCUUUGUAAUCACCCAGUUACGUUGUGACGUUUGGUAGCACACAAAGUGUUCCUCCGGUAUUCGGGAGUUGCAUAAUCUCAUAGUUAGAGGAACAUGUAUAAGUCAUGAAGAAAGCAGUAGCAACAAACUAAACGAUCAUCGUACUAAGCUAACUGAAUGGGUCAAGUCAAUCACAUCAUUCUAUAAUGAUGUGAUCCCGUUAAUCAAAUGACAACUCAUGUCUAUGGCUAGGAAACUUAACCAUCUUUGAUUCAACGAGCUAGUCAAGUAGAGGCAUACUAGUGACACUCUGUUUGUCUAUGUAUUCACACAUGUACUAAGUUUCCGGUUAAUACAAUUCUAGCAUGAAUAAUAAACAUUUAUCAUGAUAUAAGGAAAAUAAAUAAUAACUUUAUUAUUGCCUCUAGGGCAUAUUUCCUUCAGUCUCCCACUUGCAAUAGAGUCAAUAAUCUAGUUCACAUCUUUAUGUGAUUAGUUCACAUCUCCAUGUGACUAAUACCCAAAGGGUUUACUAGAGUCAAUAAUCUAGUUCACAUCGCUAUGUGAUUAACACCCAAAGAGUGAUCAUGUUUUGCUUGUGAGAGAAGUUUAGCCUACGGGUCUGCAACAUUCAGAUCCAUAUGUAUUUCGCAAAUUUCUAUGUCUACAAUGCUCUGCACGGAGCUACUCUAGCUAAUUGUUCCCACUUUCAAUAUGUAUCUAGAUCGAGACUUAGAGUCAUCUAGAUCGAUGUAAAAAGUUUGCAUCGACGUAACUCUUUACGACGAACUCUUUUAUCACCUCCAUAACCGAGAAAUAUUUCCUUAGUCCUCUAAGGAUAAUUUUGACCGUUGUCUAGUGAUCUACUCCUAGAUCACUAUUGUACUCCCUUGUCAUAAAUAUGCUAAGGUAUACAAUAGGACUGGUAAACAACAUAGCAUACUUUAUAGAACCUAUGACCGAGGCAUAGGGAAUGACUUUUCAUUCUUUUUUUAUUUUCUACUGUGGUCGGGUUUUGAGUCUUUACUCAACUUCACACCUUGCAACACAGGAAAGAACUCCUUCUUUGACUGUUCCAUUUUGAACUACUUCAAAAUCUUGUCAAGGUAUGUACUCAUUGUAAAAACUUAUCAAGCGUCUUGAUCUAUCUCUAUAGAUCUUGAUGCUCAAUGUGUAAGCAACUUCAUCGAGGUCUUUCUUUGAAAAACUCUUUUCAAACACUCCUUUAUGCUUUCCAAAAAAUUCUACAUUAUUUUCGAUCAACAAUAUGUCAUUCACAUAUACUUAUCAGAAAUGUUGUAGUGCUCCCACUCACUUUCUUGUAAAUACAGGCUUCACCGCAAGUCUGUAUAAAACCAUAUGCUUUGAUCACUUUAUCAAAGCAUAUAUUUCAACUCCAAGAUGCUUGCACCAGUCCAUAGAUGGAUCGCUGGAGCUUGCUCACUUUGUUAGCACCUUUAGGAUCGACAAAACCUUCUGGUUGCAUCAUAUACAACUCUUCUUUUAAAAAAUCCAUGAAGGAAUACAGUUUUGACAUCCAUUUGCCAGAUUUCAUAAAAUGCGACAACUGCUAACAUGAUUCGGGCAGACUUUUAAGCAUCGAUACGAGUGAGUGAUACGUCCAUUUUGCAUCAUGCUUUUAUAUCGAUAUUUAUUGCAUUAUGGGCUGUUAUUUCACAUUAUGUCACAAUACUUAUGGCUAUUCUCUCUUAUUUUACAAGGUUAACAUAAGGAGGGAGAAUGCCGACAGCUGGAAUUCUGGGCUGGAAAAGGAGCAAAUAUUAGAGACCUAUUCUGCACAACUCCAAAAGUCCUGAAACUCCAUGGAAUACCUUAUAAAAAUAAUGAAAAAUCCUCGCCAAAGAUGAAGACCAGGGGCCCACACCCUUUCCACAAGGGUGGGCCCCCCCUAGGGCACGCCCCCCUACCUCGUGGGCCCCCUAGUGGCUCUCCGAUGACCAUCUUCUGCUAUAUGAAGUCUUUCGUCGAGAAAAAAAUAGGAAGCAACCUUUCGGGACAAAACUCCGCCGCCAUGAGGCGGAACCUUGGCGGAUCCAAUCUAGAGCUCCGGCAGAGCUGUUUUGCCGGGGAAACUUCUCUCCCGGAGGGGGAAAUCAUCGCCAUCGUCAUCACCAAUGCUCCUCUCAUCGGGAUUGGGCAAUCUCCAUCAACAUCUUCAUCAGCACCAUCUCAUCUCAAAAUCCUAGUUCAUCUCUUGUAUCCAAUUCUUGUCUCCAAGUCCGGGAUUGGUGCUAGUAGGUUGCUAGUAGUGUUAAUUACUUCUUGUAGUUGAUGCUAGUUGGUUUAAUUGGUGGAAGAUCAUAUGUUCAGAUCCUUUAUGCAUAUCAUUACCCCUCUGAUUAUGAAUAUGAAUAUGCUUUGUGAGUAGUUAUGUUUGUUCCUGAGGACAAGGGAGGAGUCUUGCUAUUAGUAGUCAUGUGAAUUUGGUAUUCGUUCGAUAUUUUGAUGAGAUGUAUGUUGUCUAGCCUCUAUUUGUGUUAUGUGAACGUCGACUACAUAACACUUCACCAUUAUUUGGGCCUAGAGGAAGGCAUUGGGAAGUAAUAAGUAGAUGAUGGGUUGCUAGAGUGACUGAAGCUUAAACCCUAGUUUAUGUGUUGCUUCGUAAGGGGCUGAUUUGGAUCCAUAUGUUUCAUGCUAUGGUUAGGUUUACCUUAAUACUUUUGUUGUAGUUGCGGAUGCUUGCAAUAGAGGUUAAUCAUAAGUGGGAUGCUUGUUCAAGUAAGAACAGCUGCCAAGCACUGCUCCACCCACAUGUCAAAUUAUCAAAGUACCGAACGUGAAUCAUAUGAACGUGAUGAAAACUAGCUUGACGAUAUUCCCAUGUGUCCUCGGGAGCGCUUUUCCUUAUAUAAGAGUUUGUCCAGGCUUGUCCUUUGCUACAAAAAGGAUUGGGCCACCUUGCUGCACUUUAUUUACUUUUGUUACUUGUUGCUCGUUACAAAUUAUCUUAUCACAAAACUAUCUGUUACCACUUAUUUCAGUACUUGCAGAGAAUACCUUGCUGAAACCGCUUAUCAUUUCCUUCUGCUCCUCGUUGGGUUCGACACUCUUACUUAUCAAAAGGACUACGAUAGAUCCCCUAUACUUGUGGGUCAUCAAGACUCUUUUCUGGCGCCGUUGCCGGGGAGUGAAGCGCCUUUGGUAGGUGGAAUUUGGUAAGGAAAGAUUUAUAUAGUGUGCUGAAAUUUACUGUCACUUGUUACUAUGGAAAGUAAUCCUCUGAGGGGCUUGUUCGGGGUAUCUUCACCCCGACCAGUAGAGCAAAGAGUUGCUCCUCAACCUACUGAACCUACUGAAAAUGAAAAUGAAAAUACUUGCUUUGAAGUUCCUUCGGGUAUAAUAGAAAAACUGCUAGCUAAUCCUUUUUUAGGAGAUGGAACAAAACAUCCUGAUGAACAUCUAAUAUAUGUGGAUGAAGUUUGUGGAUUAUUUAAGCUUGCAGGUGUAUCCGGAGAUGUUGUUAAGAAGAAGGUCUUCCCCUUAUCUUUGAGGGGAGAUGCAUCGACAUGGUGUAGGCUAUGUGAUGAUAUGAGGUCUUGGAAUUACAAACGAUUGAAAUUGGAAUUUCAUCAGAAGUUUUAUCCUAUGCAUCUUGUUCAUCGUGAUUGCAAUUAUAUAUAUAAUUUUUGUCCUCGCGAAGGAGAAAGCAUCGCUCAAGCUUGGGGGAGGCUUAAGUCAAUGUUAUAUUCAUGCCCCAAUCAUGAGCUCUCAAGAGAAAUGAUUAUUCAAAAUUUUUAUGCUCGGCUUUCUGGUAACAAUCGCACCAUGCUUGAUACUUCUUGUGCUGGCUCUUUUAUGUUGAAGACUAUUGGAUUUAGACGGGAUUUAUUGGAUAGAAUUAAACACAACUCUAAAGAUUGGGACCUCGACAAUGGUAAGGAGUCGGGUAUGACACCUAAGUUUGAUUGUGUUAAUUCUUUUAUGGAUACCGAUAUUUUCCGUAAGUUUAGCACUAAAUAUGGACUUGAUUCUGAGAUAGUAGCUUCUUUCUGUGAAUCUUUUGCUACUUAUGUUGAUCUCCCUAAGGAGAAGUGGUUUAAAUAUCAUCCUCCCAUAGAAGUAAAAGUAGCUACACCAAUUAAAGUUGAAGAAAAGACUAUCACUUAUAAUGAUCAUGUUGUUCCUACUUGCUAUGUUGAGAAACCACCUUUCCCUGUUAGGAUAAAGGAUCAUGCUAAAGCUUCAACUGUGGUUCAUAAAAGCAAUAUUAAAACAUAUACACCUCCUGAGCAAGUUAAAGUAGAACCUAAUAUUGCUAUUGUUAAAGAUCUCUUGUCUGAUAAUAUUGAUGGGCAUGUUAUUCAGUUCUGCGGUGAAACUGCUAGAAUUGCUAAACCUUGUGCUAAAGAUAAAAAUAGACCUGUGGUAGGCGUGCCUGUUAUUUCUGUUAAAAUAGGAGAACAUUGUUAUCAUGGCUUAUGUGAUAUGGGUGCUAGUGCUAGUGUUAUACCUUAUGACUUGUAUAAAGAAAUCAAGCAUGAAAUUGCACCUGCUGGGUUAGAAGAUAUUGAUGUCACAAUUAAACUUGCUAAUAUAGAUACUAUUUCAGCAGUGGGAAUUGUUAGAGAUGUUGAAGUCUUGUGCGGGAAAACUAAAUAUCCUGCUGAUUUUCUUGUUCUUAGUUCCCCACAAGAUAGCUUUUGUCCCAUUAUAUUUGGUAGACCCUUCUUGAACACUGUUAAUGCUAAGAUAGACUGCGAAAAGAAUGUUGCUACUAUUGGCUUGGAUGAUAUGACUCAUGAAUUUAAUUUCUCUGAAUUUAGUAAACAACACCGUGAAGAAGAAUUGCCUAGUAAGGAUGAAAUUAUUGGUCUUGCUUCUAUUGUCAUACCUCCUAGUGAUCCUUUAGAACAAUAUUUGCUAGACAUGAGAAUGAUAUGUUUAUGAAUGAAAGAAGGGAAAUAGAUGAAGUAUUCUUUAAACAGGAACCUAUUCUGUAACACAAUUUGCCUGUUGAAAUCCUAGGGGAUCCCCUCCACCUAAGGGUGAUCCCGUGUUUGAGCUUAAACCGUUGCCUGAUAAUCUUAAAUAUGCUUAUCUUGAUGAAAAGAAGAUAUAUCCUGUUAUUAUUAGUGUUAACCUUUCAGAGCAUGAAGAAGAAAGUUUAUUGAAAACUCUGAAGAAGCACCGUGCUGCUAUUGGAUAUACUCUUGAUGAUCUUAAGGGCAUUAGUCCCACUCUAUGUCAACAUAAAAUAAAUUUGGAAGCAGAUGCCAAACCAGUUCGUGAUCCUCAACGACGUUUGAAUCCUAAAAUGAAAGAAGUGUUAAGAAAAGAAAUACUAAAGCUUCUGGAGGCAGGUAUAAUUUAUCCCGUUGCUGAUAGUUAGUGGGUAAGUCCUGUUCAUUGUGUCCCUAAGAAGGGAGGUAUUACUGUUGUUCCUAAUGAUAAAGAUGAAUUGAUUCCACAAAGAAUUAUUACAGGUUAUAGGAUGGUAAUUGAUUUCCGCAAAUUAAAUAAGGCUACUAAGAAAGAUCAUUACCCCUUACCUUUUAUCGAUCAAAUGCUAGAAAGAUUAUGCAAACAUACACAUUGCUGCUUUCUAGAUGGUUAUUCUGGUUUCUCUCAAAUACCUGUGUCGGCUAAAAAUCAAUCAAAGACUACUUUUACAUGCCCUUUUGGUACUUUUGCUUAUAGACGUAUGCCUUUUGGUUUAUGUAAUGCACCUGCUACCUUUCAAAGAUGCAUGAUGGCUAUAUUCUCUGACUUCUGUGAGAAGAUUUGUGAGGUUUUCAUGGACGACUUUUCCGUCUAUGGAUCUUCUUUUGAUGAUUGCUUGAGCAAUCUUGAUCGAGUUUUGCAGAGAUGUGAAGAAACUAUUCUUGUCUUGAAUUGGGAAAAGUGCCACUUUAUGGUAAAUGAGGGUAUUGUCUUGGGGCAUAAAGUUUCUGAAAGAGGUAUUGAAGUUGAUAACGCCAAGGUUGAUGCUAUUGAAAAGAUGCCAUGUCCCAAGGACAUCAAAGGUAUAAGAAGUUUCCUUGGUCACGCCAGAUUUUAUAGGAGGUUCAUUAAGGACUUCUCAAAAAUUUCUCGGCCUCUGACUAAUUUAUUACAAAAAGAUAUACCAUUUGUCUUUGAUGAUGAUUGUGUAGAAGCAUUUGAAAUACUUAAGAAAACAUUAGUCUCUGCACCUAUUGUUCAGCCACCUGAUUGGAAUUUACCCUUUGAAAUUAUGUGUGAUGCUAGCGAUUAUGCUGUAGGUGCUCUUCUAGGGCAAAGAGUUGAUAAGAAAUUAAAUGUUAUCCAUUAUGCUAGUAAGACUCUAGACAAUGCUCAAAUAAAUUAUGCUACUACUGAAAAAGAACUUUUAGCAGUUGUAUUUGCUUGUGAUAAGUUCAGACCUUAUAUUGUUGAUUCUAAAGUAACUAUCCACACUGAUCAUGCUGCUAUUAAAUAUCUUAUGGAGAAGAAAGAUGCUAAACCUAGACUUAUUAGAUGGGUUCUCCUGCUACAAGAAUUUGAUUUUCAUAUAGUUGAUAGAAAAGGAGCUGAGAACCCCGUUGCAGACAACUUAUCUAGGUUAGAGAACGUUCUUGAUGACCCACUACCUAUUGAUGAUAGCUUUCCUGAUGAAUAAUUAAAUCUCAUAAGUACUUCUUGUAGUACUCCUUAGUAUGCUGAUUAUGCUAAUUACAUAGUUGCUAAAUUCAUACCACCUAGCUUCACAUACCAACAAAAGAAAAAGUUCUUCUAUGAUUUGAGACAUUACUUUUGGGAUGACCCACAUCUUUAUAAAGAAGGAGUAGAUGGUGUUAUUAGAUGUUGUGUACCUGAGCAUGAACAAGAACAGAUCCUACGCAAGUGCCACUCCGGAACUUAUGGAGGACACCACGCGGGAGAUAGAACUGCGCAUAAGGUAUUGCAAUCAGGUUUUUAUUGGCCUACUGUCUUCAAGGAUGCCCGUAAGUUUGUCCUAUCUUGUGAUGAAUGUCAAAGAAUUGGUAAUAUUAGUAGACGUCAAGAAAUGCCGAUGAAUUAUUCACUUGUUAUUGAACCAUUUGAUGUUUGGGGCUUUGAUUAUAUGGGACCUUUUCCUGCCUCUAAUGGAUAUACACAUAUUUUAGUUGCUGUUGAUUACGUUACUAAGUGGGUAGAAGCUAUUCCAACUAGUAGUGCUGAUCAUAACACUUCUAUUAAAAUGCUUAAAGAAGUUAUUUUUCCAAGGUUUGGAGUCCCUAGAUAUUUAAUGACUGAUGGUGGUUCACAUUUUAUUCAUGGUGCUUUCCGUAAAAUGCUUGCUAAAUAUGACGUCAAUCAUAGAAUUGCAUCUCCGUAUCACCCACAGUCUAGUGGUCAAAUAGAAUUGAGUAAUAGAGAACUCAAAUUAAUUUUGCAAAAGACUAUCAAUAGGUCUAGAAAGAAUUGGUCCAAGAAACUUGAUGAUGCAUUAUGGGCCUAUAUAACUGCAUAUAAAAAUCCUAUGGGUAUGUCUCCGUAUAAAAUGUUAUAUGGAAAAGCAUGUCACUUACCUCUUGAACUAGAACAUAAGGCAUAUUGGGCUAUUAAAGAGCUCAAUUAUGAUUUCAAACUUGGCGGUGAAAAGAGGUUAUUUGAUAUUAGCUCUCUUGAUGAAUGGAGAACCCAAGCUUAUGAAAAUGCUAAGUUGUUUAAAGAAAAGGUUAAAAGAUGGCAUGACAAAAGGAUACAAAAGCGUGAGUUUAAUGUAGGUGACUAUGUAUUGCUAUACAACUCUCGUUUAAGAUUUUUUGCAGGGAAACUUCUCUCUAAAUGGGAAGGCCCCUAUGUUAUCGAGGAGGUCUAUCGUUCUGGUGCCAUAAAAAUUAACAACUUCGAAGGCACAAAUCCGAAGGUGGUAAACGGUCAAAGAAUCAAACAUUAUAUCUCAGGCAAUCCCAUAAAUAUUGAAACCAAUAUUAUUGAAACCGUAACCCCGGAGGAAUACAUAAGGGACACUUUCCAGAAUGUUUCAGACUCCGAAAAGGAAUAGGUAUGUGGUACGGUAAGUAAACUGACUCCAAAACAAUUUUUAAGGCAAUAUUUCUCCAUUUUGGAAUAUUUAGAAAAAUAGAAAAUUAAGUAGCAGUCCGGGAAGGACACGAGGGCCCCAUGAGGGUGGAGGGCGCGCCCCCUACCUCAUGAGCACCUCGUGUGCCUUCCGGAUUCCGUUUUCUUGCAUGAUACGUAUUUUGGUCGGUAAAAAUUCAUUAUAUAUUCUCCUGAAGAUUUUGACUCCAGUAUCACGCAAAUAUCCUCUGUUUUUGUUUCGAGCUGUUGCUGCUACAGAUUAGAGCAAGAUGUCUUCUCAAGAGUCAGCCGAGGAGAGCCGGGUAUCUAAUCCGGCACCGGAACCAAGGGCAAACAGCGACCCUGACCACUUUGGGCCAGCAACGGAGGAAGAGAUGGAGGCUGACUUAAUGAGGGUAGAUGCCAUGGAGGAUCAAGAAGUCACCUCUCGCUUCCGAGCUGGGUUCACAAUGGGGGAACUACAGAGCUCAGCUAUUCCAAACUCAGUUAUCCCUUCGAAUGUUAGAUUUCUUUCUUAGGAAAAUAUGAAGAGGAGUCUCACUUGUUCUCCCACAACUAUGAAACACCCUUGGGUGCAAGGAGCUUUAGCCAUCACAGGAAAGCUUCAUAAGGAAACAAUGGACCUCAAGCAGCAAGUCAACAAGCUCGAGGAGGAGAAUCGUAUCCUGAGAGGAAUCAUCGCCAAGAAUAUUUCACCAACAACAAAGAAGGAGACAUAAUCACAUUGGUAUGGGCACUCCACUUGGCAACCGCCAAGCUUGGGGGAGGUGCCCCGGUAUUGUAUCACAAUCAUAACUCCUAUCUUUACCGUUUUCCUUAGUUCGAUCCUAUUAGUAGUAUUUGAUCUAGUAGAAUAAAGUUCAUGGCAUGAUCUAGUUUUAAGUUUUGCUUUAUGAUCUCUCUAUGUAAUCGAGUCCGUGAGCUAUAUAAUAAAGAUUAGUGUUGAGUCAAGGGCUUGAUUUUCUUGCUAUGAUCUUGGGUGAAUAAAAGAAAAGAGAAAAAGAAUAAGAAGAAACAAAAGUUCGUAUUGAUCUUAUUGAUAGUAAUGACUUCACAUAGAAAGAGUGUGAUGAUUAAAAGUUGUUUGGAGUUGGCAGACAUAGCUUUGGUCAUUGUUGCAAUUAAUAGGAAGUAAUAAGGAAAGAGAGGUUUCACAUAUAAAUAUACUAUUAUUGACAUCUUUUAUGAUUGGGAGCACUCAUCAAAAUAUGACAUGCUAAAGAGUUGAUGUUGGAUAAGGAAGACAACGUAAUGGGUUAUGUUUUCUUAUAUCUGAGAUAAAGUAUGUUGUCAUGGAUCAUCCAACAUGUUGAGCUUUCCUUUCCCCCUCGUGCUAGCCACAUUCUUAGCACCAAGUAGAGAUACUACUUGUGCUUCCAAACACCCUUAAACCAGUUUUGCCAUGAGAGUCCACCAUAACUACCUAUGGAUUGAGUAAGAUCCUUCAAGUAAGUUGUCAUCGGUGCAAAGCAAUAAAAAUUGCUCUAAAUAUGUAUGAUUAGUGUGGGAGAAAUAAGCUUUAUACGAUCUUGUGAUGUGGAAGUAAUAAAAGCAACGGACUGCAUAAUAAAUUUUCAUAUCACAAGGGGCAAUAUAAAGUGACGUUCUUUCGCAUUAAGAUUUUGUGCAUCCAACCAUAAAAGCGCAUGGCAACCUCUGCUUCCCUCUACGAAGGGCCUAUCUUUUAUUAUUAUCUUCUACCUUAUGCAAGUGUCAUGGUGAUCUUCACCUCUCCCUUUUUCAUUUUAUCCUUUGGCAAGCCCAGCAUGUUGGAAAGAACCUGAUAUAUAUCCAAUUGGAUGUAGGGGGGCAUGAGUUAUUAUUGUUGACAUUACCCUCGAGGUAAAAGGUUGUGGGGCGAAACUAUAAGUCCCUAUCUUUCUCUGUGUCUGAUUAAAACUCCGUAACCACAAGUAUUGUGUGAGUGUUAGCAACUAUGAAGGACUAGAUGAUAGUUGAGUAUGUGGACUUGCUUUUUAGCUCUGACAUAGACUCUUUCUGAUGUUAUGAUAAAUUGUAAUUGCUUCAAUGACUGAGGUUAUAGUUUGUUGGUUCUCAAUAAGGUUUCUGAUUCAUACUUUUGUAUUAUGAAUAGAUCAUCACUUGAACAUAAGUAAUCAUAUGACAAUAUCUACAUAUGUUGAUGUUAUGAGAAUAAUCAUGAUGCCUUCAUGUCCGUAUUUUAUUUUUAUCGACGCCUCUACCUCUAAACAUGGGGACAUAUUUAUUGUUAUCGGCUUUCGCUUGAGGACAAGCGAGGUCUAAGCUUGGGGGAGUUGAUACGUCCAUUUUGCAUCAUGCUUUUAUAUCGAUAUUUAUUGCAUUAUGGGCUGUUAUUUCACAUUAUGUCACAAUACUUAUGGCUAUUCUCUCUUAUUUUACAAGGUAUAAGGAGGGAGAAUGCCGGCAGCUGGAAUUCUAGGCUGGAAAAGGAGAAAAUAUUAGAGACCUAUUAUGCACAACUCCAAAAGUCCUGAAACUCCACGGAAUACCUUAUAAUAAAUAAUGAAAAAUCCUCGCCAAAGAUGAAGACCAGGGGCCCCACACCCUUUCCACGAGGCCGUCGUCAAGGCAACUCCAGCAGCACGGAGUAAGAGGCACACGACCCAGUGCACGACGGCAAAUGGACAGCGUCUCCGGCAUUAGGGAGGAGGGCGCUGUGAAAUUGGUGCGGUGGGGGCGCCAUGGAGGAGGGGCUGAGGUUUCACGGCUCGGGAGAAGGGAGCUUCCGGGGAGAAGGUGAUUUGGCGCCCAUGAGGUAUGAAUGGGGGGAUUGGGAGGGGAGUGGAACCAUGUUUUACGGAUGCAUUUGUCUGAAAUGUGAGGGGGAGUUACAGUUCUACCCCUGCCUUUAGGCUUCUUGGCUUGAGUUUGUGUACUAAGGGUCAGGGAUAGUAGAGUAACUUUGCUUCUCCCCAAAUAGUGGGCGGGAGCGAUUUCGGGCGAGGAGGGCAUGUUUUGAAAUAUAGUGGGCGCGAGCGAUUUCGGACAAGGAGAGCGUGUUUUGAAAUAGUGGACGCGAGCUAUUUUGGGCGAGGAGAGCGUGUUUUGCCGACCAUGGUUUAUGAAAUAUUCGGCACAUGUCAUUUCGGCCUAGGAGAAGGCGCGCUUGGAUGAAGUUAUGAACCUACCCUCGAUGCACAACGGGCCAAUUAAUGCGUCUCCCACAUAGGACGGUAAUUUCACCUCUCCCAUUUAUUUGCUCGGGCGAAUUCCACCGAGCAGAGGAUGUUUAAUGGUUCGUUCAAAAUUUGGGAGAACGAGCAUCCAUGUCUACCUUACCAAGUCGAUUCGAAUCAAAUUUGAAAAUAUUAGCUUGCCACUUCUUUUUUAGAUGGAGAGAUGAUGCUCGGGAGUAAUGUGUUUUUACAUGCUCGUUGCUAGCGAUUUACUAUAUAACAAAUGGUUGACCCACUCAAAAACGGGAAUCAAACCCAAAAUGAUAUCUCGAUUCAGUGAAAUAGCUCGUUCACCAGGUCAAAAUAGUGAACUAAAUCCAAAAUUGAACACCUCAAUCGAAUAGCAUGUUGUACAGUAUUAUAGUACUCCAUGAACAUGUUGAAAGUCAAAUUAAUGAACUUGUUUGAUAUACACAUAUAUCCAUUCAUGUGUGGAUUGCAGACAACAUGUUCUCCAAUUUAAAUAUUUGAAUGCAAAUUUAUAUCGAAACAUGGUUUAUAUCAGUCUUUGAUGCAUAAAACGCGACCUCCCCCUCUCCCGUACUCCCUCUCUCUCUCUCGCCGACAAUCUUCAAUUCUGUCGCACACAUCCAACACACAGACCUUGUUGGUCCUCUCUCUUUCUCUCUCUCUCUCUCUCUCUCUCUCUCUCUCUCUCUCUUUGUGUGUGUGCGUGGGUGGGGGUCUUUCUAGUUCGCAUGCAUAUAUACUCCAUCUAUAGGUCUCUCUCGCACACUAUGUAUGAUUCUCUAGUCCAAGCUAGAUAUCUUGGGUGCACUCAUCGUACGCACACAAAUUCCUUGGCUCGUUGCCCGUAACUCUCUCACGCACCACUCUGUCGUCUCGGAGCUCUUCCCCCUCUCUCUCAAACUCUCCAUCUACUCGGGUCACACAUACACAUGCAUAUCUCACUCGCACUUGAUAGGCCCAUCUAAACUCUAUCUCUCUCCCUUGUUCUCUCUCCGUCUCACACGCAUACACACAGUCUCAUGCCUAGAUAGCCAAGUAUGAUGGUCUCUCACUCAAUUGUAGGCACACACAGUCCCCCCUAUAUGUAUAUGACCAGCUAAUCUUAGUCUCCAUCACAAACAUGUGCAUGGUCUAUCUCGAUUUCUCUCGGGGCAUCUUUCUAUCGUGCACGCACCUCCCUCGAUCUCCCACCCAUAUUGUCCCCUCAUGAUCUCGAGGGGGUCUCUCUAUCACAAACACACCCUCUCGCCCUCCCCAUGCGUCCAUGUUCUCCAUGUGUCCCUCUCGACCUUUGUUCCUUGUUGGCCAGACUUCUAUUGGACAUGUGCUAUAGGGGUGUCUCUCUCCGUUGCAAACAAUCACACACUAGCUAUCUUCGUGUAUCUCCUCGCCUCGCUUUUCUAUCUCGGAGAUGCAUGCGUGAUAUGUUCGCCUAAGAAACGAAGAAACACACUCUCUCUCUAAUUUAUCGUUUGUUGUCACUUUCUCUUUCACACACAUACUCUUUUUGCACACUUACUCAUUCUCCUUCACACACACUUGAUCCCUCUCGACUUAGGCACUCUCCUCGGUCCAUAGCAUAUUGAUUUAUUGAAAAGUUAAACAUCACAAAGUUUGACCAUGUACGUGGAGAAAAACAAUUACAUCUGGAACGACAAACAUAUACCAUUAGAUUCACCAUGAGAUGUAGUUUCGUAUGAUGUAUCUUUGGUAUUGAAGAUAUAAAUAACACUUGUGUAAACCUGAUCAAAGUUUCCAAAGUUUGACUUCUAAAAAAAAUUACAUGCACUGCAUUAUCAAGCGGAUGGAAUAUCUCUUUCCCCCUCUCAGCUAUCUGACGCACCACUCAGCCUUAUCAGGGCUCCUCAAUCUCUCUCAAACUUUAUAUCUCCCUGGUUUACACAUACACAUGUCUCACUCGCGCUAUACAUAUAGACCCAUCCAACACUUUCCGCCCUUGUUCUCUCUCUAUGUGACAUGCACCCCCUAAUAAGUACCAUAACCCCUCACUCCAUCAUAGGCGCAAGCACUCCCCCCUAAGUAUGAGUAUCUCUCACUAGCUGUCAGGAACACACGCAUUGUCUCCUUCCAUCCAUACGUCUAUCUCGAUAUCUCUCGGGGUAUCUUUUAUCACGUACACACCUUGUCACUCGAUCUCCCACCCAUGUAGUGUUGGGUUUCGUAGUAAUAAUUUCAAAAAAAUUCCUAUGCACACGCAAGAUCAUGGUGAUGCAUAGCAACGAGAGGGGGAGAGUGUGAUCUACGUACCCUUGUAGAUCGACAACGGAAGCGUUAACUUGGUUGAUGUAGUCGUACGUCUCCACGGCCCGAUCGAUCAAGCACCGAAACCACGGCACCUCCGAGUUCUAGCACACGUUCAGCUCGAUGACGAUCCCCGGACUCCGAUCCAGCAAAGUGUCGGGGAAGAGUUCCGUCAGCACGAUGGCGUGGUGACGAUCUUGAUGUUCUACUGUCGCAGGGCUUCGCCUAAGCACCGCUACAAUAUUAUCGAGGACUAUGGUGGAAGGGGGCACCGCACACGGCUAAGAAUAUGAUCACGUGGAUCAACUUGUGUCUCUAGGGGUGCCCCUUGUCUCCGUAUAUAAAGCCUCAAAGGAGGGGGGCCGGCCGGCCAUCAUAGGGCGCGCCAGGAGGAGUCCUACUCCUUUCGGGAGUAGGACUCCCCCCUUUCCUAGUUGGAAUAGGAUUCGCGGAGGGGGAAAAGAGGAGAGAGAGAGGAGGAAGGGGGGCCGGCCCCCUCUCCUUGUCCUAUUUGGACCAAGGGGAGGAGGGGCGCGCAACCCAUCCCUGGCCACCUCUCCUAUCUCCCACUAAGGCCCACUAAGGCCCAUAUACCUCCCAGGGGGUUCCGGUAACCUCCCGGUAAACCGGUAAAAUCCUGAUUUCACCCGGAACGCUUCCGAUAUCCAAAUAUAGGCUUCCAAUAUAUCAAUCUUUAUGUAUCGACCAUUUCGAGACUCCUCGUCAUGUCCGUGAUCACAUCCGGGACUCCGAACAAACUUCGGUACAUCAAAAUGCAUAAACUCAUAAUAUAACUGCCAUCGUAACCUUAAGCGUGCGGACCCUACGGGUUUGAGAACAAUGUAGACAUGACCGAGACAUGUCGCCAGUCAAUAACCAAUAGCGGAACCUGGAUGCUCAUAUUGGCUCCUACAUAUUCUACGAAGAUCUUUUAUCGGUCAGACCGCAUAACAACAUACGUUGUUCCCUUUGUCAUCGGUAUGUUACUUGCCCGAGAUUCGAUCGUCGGUAUCCCAUACCUAGUUCAAUCUCGUUACCGGCAAGUCUCUUUACUCGUUCCGUAAUACAUCAUCCUACAACUAACUCAUUAGUUGCAAUACUUGCAAGGCUUCAGUGAUGUGCAUUACCGAGAGGGCCCAGAGAUACCUCUCCGACAAUCGGAGUGACAAAUCCUAAUCUCGAAAUACGCCAACCGAACAUGUACCUUUGGAGACACCUGUAGAGCUCCUUUAUAAUCACCCAGUUAUGUUGUGACGUUUGGUAGCACACAAAGUGUUCCUCCGGCAAACGGGAGUUGCAUAAUCUCAUAGUCAUAGGAACAUGUAUAAGUCAUGAAGAAAGCAAUAGCAACAUACUAAACGAUCGGGUGCUAAGCUAAUGGAAUGGGUCAUGUCAAUCAGAUCAUUCAACUAAUGAUGUGAUCCCGUUAAUAAAAUGACAACUCUUUGUCCAUGGUUAGGAAACAUAACCAUCUUUGAUUAACGAGCUAGUCAAGUAGAGGCAUACUAGUGACACUCUGUUUAUCUAUGUAUUCACACAUGUAUUAUGUUUCCGGUUAAUACAAUUCUAGCAUGAAUAAUAAACUUUUAUCAUGAUAUAAGGAAAUAAAUAAUAACUUUAUUAUUGCCUCUAGGGCAUAUUUCCUUCAGUCUCCCACUUGCACUAGAGUCAAUAAUCUAGAUUAUACUGUAAUGAUUCUAACACCCAUGGAGCCUUGGUGCUGAUCAUGUUUUGCUCGUGGAAGAGGCUUAGUCAACGGGUCUGCUACAUUCAGAUCCGUAUGUAUCUUGCAAAUCUCUAUGUCUCCCACCUAGACUAGAUCCCGGAUGGAAUUGAAGCGUCUCUUGAUGUGCUUGGUUCUCUUGUGAAAUCUGGAUUCCUUCGCCAAGGCAAUUGCACCAGUAUUGUCACAAAAGAUUUUCAUUGGACCCGAAGCACUAGGUAUGACACCUAGAUCGGAUAUGAACUCCUUCAUCCAGACUCCUUCGUUUGCUGCUUCCGAAGCAGCUAUGUACUCCGCUUCACAUGUAGGUCCCGCCACGACGCUUUGUUUAGAACUGCACCAACUGACAGCUCCACCAUUUAAUGUAAACACAUAUCCGAUUUGCGAUUUAGAAUCGUCCGGAUCAGUGUCAAAGCUUGCAUCAACGUAACCGUUUACGAUGAGCUCUUUGUCACCUCCAUAUACGAGAAACAUAUCCUUAGUCCUUUUCAGGUACUUCAGGAUGUUCUUGACCGCUGUCCAGUGAUCCACUCCUGGAUUACUUUGGUACCUCCCUGCUAGACUUAUAGCAAGGCACACAUCAGGUCCGGUACACAGCAUUGCAUACAUGAUAGAGCCUAUGGCUGAAGCAUAGGGAACAUCUUUCAUUUUCUCUCUAUCUUCUGCAGUGGUCGGGCAUUGAGUCUGACUCAACUUUACACCUUGUAACACAGGCAAGAACCCUUUCUUUGCUUGAUCCAUUUUGAACUUCUUCAAAACUUUGUCAAGGUAUGUGCUUUGUGAAAGUCCAAUUAAGCGUCUUGAUCUAUAUCUAUAGAUCUUAAUGCCUAAUAUGUAAGCAGCUUCACCGAGGUCUUUCAUUGAAAAACUCUUAUUCAAGUAUCCCUUUAUGCUAUCCAUAAAUUCUAUAUCAUUUCCAAUCAGUAAUAUGUCAUCCACAUAUAAUAUCAGAAAUGCUACAGAGCUCCCACUCACUUUCUUGUAAAUACAGGCUUCUCCGAAAGUCUGUAUAAAACCAAAUGCUUUGAUCACACUAUCAAAGCGUUUAUUCCAACUCUGAGAGGCUUGCACCAGUCCAUAAAUGGAUCGCUGGAGCUUGCACACUUUGUUAGCUCCCUUUGGAUCGACAAAACCUUCUGGUUGCAUCAUAUACAACUCUUCUUCCAGAAAUCCAUUCAGGAAUGCAGUUUUGACAUCCAUCUGCCAAAUUUCAUAAUCAUAAAAUGCGGCAAUUGCUAACAUGAUUUGGACAGACUUAAGCAUCGCUACGGGUGAGAAGGUCUCAUCGUAGUCAAUCUCUUGAACUUGCUGAAACCCUUUUGCGACAAGUCGAGCUUUGUAGACAGUAAUAUUACCGUCGUCGUCAGUCUUCUUCUUGAAGAUCCAUUUAUUCUCAAUUGCUUGCCGAUCAUUGGGCAAGUCAAGCAAAGUCCACACUUUGUUCUCAUACAUGGAUGCCAUCUCAGAUUUCAUGGCUUCAAGCCAUUUUGCGGAAUCUGGGCUCACCAUCGCUUCUUCAUAGUUCGUAGGUUCAUCAUGAUCUAGUAGCAUGACUUCCAGAACAGGAUUACCGUACCACUCUGGCGCGGAUCUCACUCUGGUUGAUCUACGAGUUUCAGUAGUAUCUUGUUCUGAAGUUUCAUGAUCAUUAUCAUUAGCUUCCUCACUAAUUGGUGUAGGUGUCACUGAAAUAGUUUUCUGUGAUGCACUACUUUCCAAUAAGGGAGCAGGUACAGUUACCUCGUCAAGUUCUACUUUCCUCCCACUCACUUCUUUCGAGAGAAACUCCUUCUCCAAAAAGUUUCCGAACUUAGCAACAAAAGUCUUGCCUUCGGAUCUGUGAUAGAAGGUGUAUCCAAUAGUCUCCUUUGGAUAUCCUAUGAAGACACAUUUCUCCAAUUUGGGUUCGAGCUUAUCAGGUUGAAGCUUUUUCACAUAAGCAUCGCAGCCCCAAACUUUCAGAAACGACAACUUUGGUUUCUUGCCAAACCAUAGUUCAUAAGGCGUCGUCUCAAUGGAUUUUGAUGGUGCCCUAUUUAACGUGAAUGCGGUCGUCUCCAAAGCAUAACCCCAAAACGAUAGCGGUAAAUCAGUAAGAGACAUCAUAGAUCGCACCAUAUCUAGUAAAGUACGAUUACGACGUUCGGACACACCAUUACGCUGUGGUGUUCCGGGUGGCAUGAGUUGCGAAACUAUUCCGCAUUGUUUCAAAUGUACACCAAACUCGUAACUCAAAUAUUCUCCUCCACGAUCAGAUCAUAGAAACUUUAUUUUCUUGUUACGAUGAUUUUCAACUUCACUCUGAAAUUCUUUGAACUUUUCAAACGUUUCAGACUUAUGUUUCAUUAAGUAGAUAUACCCAUAUCUGCUUAAGUCAUCUGUGAAGGUGAGAAAAUAACGAUAUCCGCCACAAGCCUCAAUAUUCAUCGGACCACAUACAUCUGUAUGUAUGAUUUCCAACAAAUCUGUUGCUCUCUCCAUAGUACCGGAGAACGGCGUUUUAGUCAUCUUGCCCAUGAGGCACGGUUCGCAAGUACCAAGUGAUUCAUAAUCAAGUGGUUCCAAAAGUCCAUCAUUAUGGAGUUUCUUCAUGCGCUUUACACCGAUAUGACCUAAACGGCAGUGCCACAAAUAAGUUGCACUAUCAUUAUCAACUCUGCAUCUUUUGGCUUCAACAUUAUGAAUAUGUGUGUUACUACUAUCGAGACUCAAUAAGAAUAGACCACUCUUCAAGGGUGCAUGACCAUAAAAGAUAUUACUCAUAUAAAUAGAACAACCAUUAUUCUCUGAUUUAAAUGAAUAACCGUCUCGCAUCAAACAAGAUCCAGAUAUAAUGUUCAUGCUUAACGCUGGCACCAAAUAACAAUUAUUUAGGUCUAAUAUUAAUCCCGAAGGUAGAUGUAGAGGUAGCGUGCCGACCGCGAUCACAUCGACUUUGGAACCGUUUCCCACACGCAUCGUCACCUCGUCCUUAGCCAAUCUUCGCUUAAUCCGUAGUCCCUGUUUCGAGUUGCAAAUAUUAGCAACAGAACUAGUAUCAAAUACCCAGGUGCUACUGCGAGCAUUAGUAAGGUACACAUCAAUAACAUGUAUAUCACAUAUACCUUUGUUCACCUUGCCAUCCUUCUUAUCCGCCAAAUACUUGGGGCAGUUCCGCUUCCAGUGACCAGUAUGCUUGCAGUAGAAGCACUCAGUUUCAGGCUUAGGUCCAGACUUGGGUUUCUUCUCUUGAGCAGCAACUUGCUUGCUGUUCUUCUUGAAGUUCCCCUUCUUCUUCCCUUUGCCCUUUUUCUUGAAACUAGUGAUCUUGUUGACCAUCAACACUUGAUGCUCCUUCUUGAUUUCUACCUCCGCAGCUUUCAGCAUUGCGAAGAGCUCAGGAAUAGUCUUAUUCAUCCCUUGCAUAUUAUAGUUCAUCACGAAGCUCUUGUAGCUUGGUGGAAGUGAUUGGAGAAUUCUCUCAAUGACGCUAUCAUCCGGAAGAUUAACUCCCAGUUGAAUCAAGUGAUUACAAUACCCAGACAUCUUGAGUAUAUGCUCACUGACAGAAGUGUUCUCCUCCAUCUUGCAGCUAUAGAACUUAUUGGAGACUUCAUAUCUCUCAAUCCGGGCAUUUGCUUGAAAUAUUAACUUCAACUCCUGGAACAUCUCAUAUGCCCCAUGACGUUCAAAACAUCGUUGAAGUCCCGGUUCUAAGCCGUAAAGCAUGGCACAUUAAACUAUCAAGUAGUCAUCAGCUUUGCUCUGCCAGACGUUCAUAACAUUUGGUGUUGCUCCAGCAGCAGGCCUGGCACCCAGCGGUGCUUCCAGGACGUAAUUCUUCUGUGCAGCAAUGAGGAUAAUCCUCAAGUUACGGACCCAUUCCAUGUAAUUGCUACCAUCAUCUUUCAACUUUGCUUUCUCAAGGAACGCAUUAAAAUUCAACGGAACAACAGCACAAGCCAUCUAUCUACAAUCAAACAUACAUAAUCAAGAUACUAUCAGGUACUAAGUUCAUGAUAAAUUUAGGUUCAAUUAAUCAUAUUACUUAAAGAACUCCCACUUAGAUAGACAUCCCUCUAAUCCUCUAAGUGAUUACGUGAUCCAAGUCAACUAAACCAUGUCCGAUCAUCACGUGAGAUGGAGUAGUUUCGUUGGUGAACAUCACUAUGUUGAUCAUAUCUACUAUAUGAUUCACGCUCGACCUUUCGGUCUCCGUGUUCCGAGGCCAUAUCUGUAUAUGCUUGGCUCGUCAAGUAUAACCUGAGUAUUCUGCGUGUGCAACUGUUUUGCACCCGUUGUAUUUGAACGUAGAGCCUAUCACACCCGAUCAUCACGUGGUGUCUCAGCACGAAGAACUUUCGCGACGGUGCAUACUCAGGGAGAACACUUCUUGAUAAUUAGUGAGAGAUCAUCUUAUAAUGCUACCGUCAAUCAAAGCAAGAUAAGAUGCAUAAAAGAUAAACAUCACAUGCAAUCAAUAUAAGUGAUAUGAUAUGGCCAUCAUCAUCUUGUGCUUGUGAUCUCCAUCCUCGAAGCACCGUCGUGAUCACCAUUGUCACCGGCGCGACACCUUGAUCUCCAUCGUAGCAUCGUUGUCGUCUCGCCAAUCUCAUGCUUCCAUGACUAUCGCUACCGCUUAGUGAUAAAGUAAAGCAUUACAGCAUGAUUGCAUUGCAUACAAUAAAGCGACAACCAUAUGGCUCCUGCCAGUUGCCGAUAACUCGGUUACAAAACAUGAUCAUCUCAUACAAUAAAAUUUAGCAUCAUGUCUUGACCAUAUCACAUCACAACAUGCCCUGCAAAAACAAGUUAGACGUCCUCUACUUUGUUGUUGCAAGUUUUACGUGGCUGCUACGGGCUUAAGCAAGAACCAAUCUUACCUACGCAUCAAAACCACAACAAUAGUUUGUCAAGUUGGUGCUAUUUUAACAUUCGCAAGGACCGGGCGUAGCCACACUCGGUUCAACUAAAGUUGGGGAAACUGUCACCCGCUAGCCACCUUUGUGCAAAGCACGUCGGGAGAACCGGUCUCGCGUAAGCGUACGCGUAAUAUCGGUCCGGGCUGCUUCGUCCAACAAUACCGCCGAACCAAAGUAUGACAUGCUGGUAAGCAGUAUGACUUAUAUCGCCCACAACUCACUUGUGUUCUACUCGUGCAUAUAACAUCAACACAAAAAACCUAGGCUCGGAUGCUACUAUUGGGUUUCGUAGUAAUAAUUUCAAAAAAAUUCCUACGCACACGCAAGAUCAUGGUGAUGCAUAGCAACGAGAGGGGGAGAGUGUGAUCUAUGUACCCUUGUAGAUCGACAACGGAAGGAUUAACUUGGUUGAUGUAGUCGUACGUCUCCACGGCCCGACCGAUCAAGCACCGAAACCACGGCACCUCCGAGUUCUAGCACACGUUCAGCUCGAUGACGAUCCCCGAACUCCGAUCCAGCAAAGUGUUGGGGAAGAGUUCCGUCAGCACGACGGCGUGGUGACGAUCUUGAUGUUCUACUGUCGCAGGGCUUCGCCUAAGCACCGCUACAAUAUUAUCGAGGACUAUGGUGGAAGGGGGCACCGCACACGGCUAAGAAUAUGAUCAUGUGGAUCAACUUGUGUCUCUAGGGGUGCCCCUGUCUCCAUAUAUAAAUCCUCAAAGGAGGGGGGCCGGCCGGCCAUCAUAGGGCGCGCCAGGAGGAGUCCUACUCCUUUCGGGAGUAGGACUCCCCCCUUUCCUAGUUGGAAUAGGAUUCGCGGAGGGGGAAAAGAGGAGAGAGAGAGGAGGAAGGGGGGCCGGCCCCCUCUCCUUGUCCUAUUCGGACCAAGGGGGGAGGGGCGUGCGGCCCAUCCCUGACCACCUCUCCUAUCUCCCACUAAGGCCCACUAAGGCCCAUAUACCUCCUGGGGGGUUCCGGUAACCUCCCGGUAAUCCGGUAAAAUCCCGAUUUCACUCGGAACGCUUCCGAUAUCCAAAUAUAGGCUUCCAAUAUAUCAAUAUUUAUGUCUCGACCAUUUCGAGACUCCUCGUCAUGUCCGUGAUCACAUCCGGGACUCCGAACAAACUUCGGUACAUCAAAAAUGCAUAAACUCAUAAUAUAACUGUCAUCGUAACCUUAAGCGUGCGGACCCUACGGGUUCGAGAACAAUGUAGACAUGACCGAGACACGUCUCCGGUCAAUAACCAAUAGCGGAACCUGGAUGCUCAUAUUGGCUCCUACAUAUUCUACGAAGAUCUUUUAUCGGUCAGACCGCAUAACAACAUACGUUGUUCCCUUUGUCAUCGGUAUGUUACUUGCCCGAGAUUCGAUCGUCGGUAUCCCAUACCUAGUUCAAUCUCGUUACCAGCAAGUCUCUUUACUCGUUCCGUAAUACAUCAUCCCGCAACUAACUCAUUAGUUGCAAUGCUUGCAAGGCUUCAGUGAUGUGCAUUACCGAGAGGGCCCAGAGAUACCUCUCAGACAAUCGGAGUGACAAAUCCUAAUCUCGAAACACGCCAACCCAACAUGUACCUUUGGAGACACCUGUAGAGCUCCUUUAUAAUCACCCAGUUACGUUGUGACGUUUGGUAGCACACAAAGUGUUCCUCCGGCAAACGGGAGUUGCAUAAUCUCAUAGUCAUAGGAACAUGUAUAAGUCAUGAAGAAAGCAAUAGCAACAUACUAAACGAUCGGGUGCUAAGCUAAUGGAAUGGGUCAUGUCAAUCGGAUCAUUCAACUAAUGAUGUGAUCCCGUUAAUCAAAUGACAACUCUUUGUCCAUGGUUAGGAAACAUAACCAUCUUUGAUUAACGAGCUAGUCAAGUAGAGGCAUACUAGUGACACUCUGUUUGUCUAUGUAUUCACACAUGUAUUAUGUUUUCGGUUAAUACAAUUCUAGCAUGAAUAAUAAACUUUUAUCAUGAUAUAAGGAAAUAAAUAAUAACUUUAUUAUUGCCUCUAGGGCAUAUUUCCUUCAUGUAGUCCCAUCACGAUCUCCAAGGAUCUCUCUAUGACAAACAUACACUCUCUCCUCCCCAUGUUUGCAUUUUCUCCAUUGUUUGUCAUACCCCUCUUGGCCAUGUGCUAGGGGUCUUGCUCUCUCGGUUGCAAACAAUCACACACUAUCUCCUCAUCCUUGCUUCCGUUAUCAAAGAUGCAUGUGUGAUAUGUUCGCAUAAGACACACACAUUUUUUCUUGACUUUUAUCGAGUGUUGUCCAUGUCUCUUUCAUACACGCACACACACUUUUUUCACUCACUCUUUCUAUUUCACUCUCUCUCUCUAGUUAGGGACUCUCACGUCCAUAAGCAUAUGGAUGUUUUGAAAAGUCAAACCUCAGAAAAGUUUGACCAGGUAUAUGUGGAGAAAAACAUUUACACCUGGAAAGAUCAUUAGAUUCAUCACAACAUAUACUUACUUCAUACUUGGUAUUGUAGAUAUAAGUAAUUUCUUUAUAAACUUGGUCAAAGUUUCAAAAGUUUGACUUUUAAAAAAAUGUUGGAACUACAUUAUCGAGCGGAGGGAGUAGCUCUUUCUCUCUCUCUGCGCUAUCUCUCACGAGCCUGCCCUCUCACACGAACACUCUAUACCGACGGAUUAUACACUCACUGUGUCAGCGUAUAGCUCCGUAUAUUGUUUAGUUGACCGGUCAACCAGUCCACAUGCUGCCUUGUCAGCUCGUGUUCUGUAUCUUCGUGUGCUGGCCCAUGUGGCAGUGGGUGAAAAUAAGUAAACUAGAGGCCCAUCUGAUACGCGGUGAAGUAAAAAAAAGUUGAAACCACUCGGGGUAGCACCCUGCACGCUAGUAAAUUGAGGGCGCUUUGAGGACACACUUCUUCCGCGUGGAGGACACACUCGCGCACAAUUCACCACUGCACAGCGGCAUGCAUAGAAGGACGCACUCGCGCACACCCAACACACAACACACACCAUCACACGUGUACACCAGCGUCGCCGCUGGUUGAGAUGGACGGCGAGGCAGCCAACAAGCGGAGGCGGCUCGAGCCAAAACUGCAUCCGGCGAGCCUGGACUUCAUCAGCAGCCUCCCCGACGACAUGAUGCUCAUCAUCAUCGGCCUCCUUCCCACCAAAUCUGCUGUGCGGACCGCCCUGCUCUCCCGGCGGUGGCACCCCCUCUGGCAUCGCGUCCCCCUCAACCUCACCGUCGACAGCUGCCUCUGUGAUGGGGAUUGCAAACGCAUGGCCGCAGUCUCCAAGAUCCUUUCAUCGCACCCUGGGCCAGCCAGAUGCCUUGACAUCCGCAUGUUCAGUACCAACUGCAAGGUCCAACCCAAUUUCGACGAGUGGUUCUUAUCCCCCGCCCUAGAUCAGCUCGAGGAGCUCAGCUUUGAAGCUGGACGAUGUCGCUCUCUACCGCUGUCCAUGCUCCGCCUCACGCCAACACUGCGCCGCACUAGCUUCAGCUCCUGCUAUCUUCCCCAGAUUAAUGUCGCGCCCGCCCUUCUUCUCCCUCAACUCAAGCAGCUCGACCUCUUCAACGUUGUCAUCUCGAAGAAGGCUAUGGAGCACCUGCUCCGCAACUCUAUUGCGCUUGAGUACCUUCGUCUUGAGCAGAUCCACGGGUUCAUUAGCCUCCACAUCACCUCGACGAAUCUCCGAUGGAUUUAUGUGUCUUGCUAGCCCCGCAACAAGACAUCAAUUGGGAAGAGAUUACUCCAGCUGUUCCACGUUAUGGUCAUUGAGAAUGUGCCUUUCCUUGAGAGAUUACUUGUAUCAGAUCUUGAAGGUCCAACAAAAAUCAGGGUCAUUGAUGCGCCGAAAUUAACAGCGUUGGUGCACUCGUCUGCCAAAUUCUCCAAACUCUUUAUUGGAUCCAUAAUCGUUUAGGUACAACACUCAUCUUCUUCUCCGUCUUCUUGAAAUUCACAUUUUUAAAUUUCUUCUUGAUGUAUUUAUGACUGUCUUCCAGAAAAUGAUUCCCACAAGCUUGACCCAGUCUAUGUGCAUAGUGAAGAUCUUGGCAAUAAAAUCUACCGGCCCCAAUCUGGAUCAAGUUGUUGGAUUCCUUACAUGCUUUCCGUGCACGGAGAAGCUACUCAUCGAGGUGAAACUUCUUUCCUAUUAGUAAACGUUAAUCACAACGUAGCUCAAAUUUUUCGUAAUUUUCCCAAAUUACGAUGACAAGUGUAGUGUUCAAAACUGCAUCUAUGCACUGCACCGAAAGAAAUGUUUUUAGUAUUUUUUCUCACGUGAUCACCUGCAUCAUUUUUUUGUUGUACUACUAUAGUAGCCUAGGCUAGUCAUAGUGGAAAGUAACUUAGACUACUCCAGUAACUCUAUGGUUACCCUAAGAGCAAGUACUACCUCCGUCCUGGUUUACUCUUCCUAUUUUGCAGUAUCAAAAUUUGACCAUAGAUUUAACUGACAAAAUGUUAAUGCAUGUCACUAAGAACUAUAUCGUUGGAUCCGUAUUUGAACAUAAUUUCAAAUGGUGUAACUUUUAGUGACAUGCAUUGGCAUUUUCUUACGUAAAUCUAUGGUCAAAAUUUUAUACUAAGUAAGAGGUAGUACAAAAGUGGGCUAUAAUGGCUGUCGGUGUCAAAACUGGCGGAUCUCGGGUAGGGGGUCCCGAACUGUGUGUUUAUGCCAGAUGGUAACAGGAGGCAAGGAACACGAUGUUUUACCCAGGUUCGGGCCCUCUCGUUGGAGGUAAAACUCUACGUCCUGCUUGAUUAAUAUUGAUGAUAUGGGUAGUACAAGAGUAGAUCUACCACGAGAUCAAGGAGGCUAAACCCUAGAAGCUAGCCUAUGGUAUGAUUGUUGUAUAUGGAGUUGAUGUCCUACGGACUACAAUCCUCCGGUUUAUAUAGACACCGGAUAGGGUUAGGGUUACAUAGAGUCGGUUACAAUGGUAGGAGAUCUUGAAUAUCCGCAUCGCCAAGCUUGCCUUCCAUGCCAAGGAAAGUCCCAUCCGGACACGGGAUGAUGUCUUCAAUCUUGUAUCUUCAUAGUCCAGGAGUCCGGCUGAAGGUAUAGUCCGGCUACCCGAACACCCCCUAAUCCAGGACUCCCUCAAUGGGCCUCCACUAUGUAGGGCAAAACACGUGCCAAAUUCACUUGUGAUGCAUUUGACAUCGAUGCCCCUCCAUUGCUUACCUGGUGCCCCAAUCUGGAUCACCUACUUUGCUCCGGUGCCAAAUUAAUAACUCGCGCAAUGAAAAAACACUUGCGUGGGAGAGAGAGAGGAUUGAGGCAAUAAAAACACUUGUUUGGGAGAGUGAGAGGCUGGUGUAGUUGGUUUGAUUGAUUUUUUUAUACAUGUGGGUCUGUGUGCAUAGCGGUGCCAACUCUCUCACAUCGCGAGAGCGGUGCCAAAAUCUUUUGAUUUGACAUCGAUGCGUAUAAUGUGGCAUACUUUUGUGAAAUAUGGCAUCGGCCACAUAGUGGAAGGAAACAAAUUCCCAAGAUCUUCACGUACUCCUAGGUAAAUGAGAGGAAAGAGAAAGAGAGAGAGAGGGAGAGUGAAAAAAUAUCACUAGCUAGCCAACCCUAUCGUAUGAGCGAAUGAUAUUGGUACCUCUUGAUGACAUGGCAAUCUUAUAUAGCCAGCUUCUCUAAUAUGUUCUCUUCUUUUGCAGAUAAAAAAAGACCCGAAAGUGAAAAAUGUGCUGCACUAUAACAAUCUCAUCGAAUGCCUUGAUCUCCAUCUUACAGAAAUUGAUUUGAUCGACUACCGAGGCAGCACAUCUGAGAUUAAAUUGGCUAGGUUCUUUGUUCUGGAGGCAAGUGUGCUCAAGGUAAUGAGGUUUGGCAUUCUCUGGCACAACAAUGAAUGGUGUGCUGAUCACUGCAAGCGUCUAAGCCUAAAUGACAAAGUCUCCAUAGAAGCUGAAUUUGUUUUUGAAACAUCAAGUGGCCAGAGACUCGAAAACUUAUUUGCCCAUUAGUGACUUAUCAGGGCGGUGGAUUUUAGUUUGUACGAUAAUGCUGCAUCCACCUAAAGUAACGAAAUUUCUUACGUAAACUUCCUAGUAAUUUCCUCUUCGUAGGUGCAGCAUUACUCCUAACAUUUGUAAUAUCAGUUUGAAACUUGUAAUAUUGCCGUGUCCUAUUCGUGCGUUUUCAAAAUCCUACGAAUCAAACAGGUCAUGAGUUGGUGAUGAUGUUGUGCCUGCCAUCUUUCACCAAUAGCCGUCGGAUCUAGAUUUGACGCAUACAAAACAAACUUCUCCAGUUUUGCAAAAAGAUGCCCGCACUUGUUCCCUAUUUACAAACAACUCCUUGUCUCUCACAAUCAGCCUUAUCUCCUGCCCACCACAUCUAGAAGGCAAUGGGAAAAUCUGGCGCGAUGGCCGCUGCCGGCGCCAUCCACCCCCCCAAUCUUAGUGUUCCGUGCAAUGCAUGGGCAUCUACGCACGGGAAAUUAUGUCGAACACAACUAGUUGUAAGCAGGCUAGGUCUACAGCCAUGAUGAUAGUGACUGCAGACGGUGAGGCUGACUAUAGUAUGCCAAACACGACGCCUAUACUCAGGUGUCAUCUCCGGCGUAGGGUCUUGUCACUUCACUGUGAGGAGCAGCACGUAAUAAUUUGACCAAUGGGUAGUACAGUGCUACUACAUUGGUAGUACUACUACUAAUACUAGCACCACCGUCUGGAUUUAGUAGUACUACCACGCCCAUCUGGAUUUAGUAUUUGACUAGCAAUAUCUAGUAAUGCAUGUCACAAAAAAUGUACUACUCCCUCUGUAAAUAAAUACAUGGUGUAUUGUUUUAUUCCUGUCGGCGAGAUAACUUAAUGUAUUUUUGCUACUUAAUAGGAUUACAUGCAAUGAACUAACCACUGCAUGUGAUGUUUGGUAGUCUCAAGUCAUUGAAACCAUGCACGGGCACGGAGGGGGACGCAACUUCAUUGACUUACUGCACCUGCCUUUGGGUGUAUGACACGUGGGCCCAACGGGUGGCUGGCCAACCUGUCAUACAGCCAAAGGCAGGUGCAGUAGAGGGGCGAGGAGUAGAUGGCCAACACGCACGUGAAUUCAACGCAGUCUGCACUUCUCAUAUAAAGGCUCCCGCCAGUCCAAUCUACGAAAUCCUAUGCACCUACGCACCCAAGGGAAAGAGUGAUCACUCCAGUCGCAAGAUUAAUUGACUAGAAGCUAGACCCAUGGAGGCAAUGAGCGCGAGCAUCAGCCGGCUGUGCCAGAUGGUCCACGAUGCCGGCCUACGGCCUGGCACCGAGGAACGUCUCCAGGUAGUGCUUGAGGCCGCCAGGGCGAGGGGCCGCUUGGACGACAACGUCGUCUCCUUGUUCGACGAGGUCCUCGUUGGCUUCCUCGACAAGUUCACCGUCGUCAGGAAGCUCGCGGAUGACCUUGACGUACGCCUCCAGCCCACGCGCCCAGGCUCUGUGAUGCCUGCCACCGUCAACGGCCUCUAUGGUGACAACCUCUUCGACGCACUGGUGGCCCUGCGACUGCCCGUCGUCACGCUGGAGAAUGUCCACGUCAAGGUCGCGCUCGCCGUGCAACGCCUGGCGCAGCAAGACACCAUCGACAUAAUCACCCACAUCUACGUGCAAAUCGUACACAAGGACUACUACAUGCAAGAGGAGGACGAUAGGACGCUGGCCUUCUUGGACCGCAAGGCAACUUUGGACGACAUUGUUCAGAAGCACGUUGAUCUUGCCGCCAACGCCGCUGCUCCUCACACGUCGGUUGGUGACCCGGUGCACUAGGGCGUGAGGAUGUCGUUAAUGGAUCCGUAUGUAUCUUUAUCUUUCCGUCAAAUCCAUGUAGUAGUAUAUGGUACUACUAGUAAUUAUCUUACCUUUCGCAUCAACUUCAUAAUUUUCCUACGUACUCCAUGCAUGAACCGCGCCAGAACCAAACUUCUCAUUACUCUGGGAAAAUCGUUAUUUCUAUCUAUCGGUCACGCCAUGGAGCAGAACCAAAUUUUACAAGUUACAAGUUCAAAAGGAAAAGCCUGCCGUGUUCGAGUAGCACCCCCACACGGUUGGUCCGGCACGCCGCUCAAGGGGGAAUGCGUGUUGUGUUGCAUUUUCACUUACAAGUGGGACCGCAGUUGAGCAAACUGACUAUCGACAAACCCCCACCCCGCCCACCGCGUGAUGGCUGAGAAAACAGGAGGGAGAAGAGAUGGCUGUAGCACGGACUCCAAGAAAAUUGGUGUCGGAUGGGACUCGUGUGGGUGGCGUGUGCCGUACUGCUAGACAUGAAUGCUAGUUAUGGCCCAUACCACCCCACUAUAUCGAGGUGCUGGUUACGUAGAACAAAUUUCCUGGAGUCCGUGCUCAGCCCUCCUCUAUCUCUCUUCUCAGCCAUCCAGCAGACGCGUGGAGCCCAUCGUCUGUUUGCUCAUAUGCGGUCCCACAUGUCAGUGAAAAUGCAAGAGGACCCACUGAACCUGCACAUCUUUCACCUCGACGUGCUGGUGAUGAAAAACAAAUCCAAUAAAGAUCUUCGGUGGCCGCUUUUGGAGUUACUCAAGAGUAGUAAGAUUCUAUUUACAGUUUAACCCAAGAUGCACGUCACGUGGCUUCAACUACCACUCUAUUUUCUUGCAUGACACGACCUGGAUGCUGGAUGUCCCACGUGUCGGCAAAAGGAGGAAGAACUCGACCAAAUCUUCGGUUGUGAUCUCGGAUUAGACUAGUUGUGCUAACUUAAAAUUUUAUUGUGUAGAAUGGAUGCACGUUUUGGUAUUGGGAAGAAGAGUACAACGGCAUAUUGAUAGAGCGCAAUUUAGUAGAUGUUCUAGCACUUUUAGCUAGCAUAGAGGCUAGAGAUGAGACUAGUGCACUUGUUGAUAGAAUAGAGGCUAGACCCGUCUACUUCUUUACACUCAAAGAAGAAAGAAGCACGUAGGAUCAAGCCUCCAUAGAUCAACAAUGAAUGCAUCGAGAAGGCACUAAUCCAACUUACAUGAGCAGUUAUGGAAGUUGGAUAUCUUCUAAAAUGUAUUCUUGUGGUUCUUGUUUUUCUAGUCAAAAUUUUGGUGAUCUAUUUCCAUGUACCAAAAAAUCAAUGAUGAAAAAAAGAUGUGUGUUUGCAAAGAAAAAUGUACGCGGCCGGGAUGCGUCCGCGCGUUCGGCGCACGGCCACCGCAUCCGACCGGACAUGACCCCAUUGCCCUACCCAAACGGACAGAAUCCGGGCAAAACGGGGGUUCGUUCGGGGUCGUGCAUUGGAGUUGGCCUUACAAGUGGGACCGCAGUUGAGGAAAACGACUAUCGGCAAAGCCCCACCUCGCCCGCCGCGCGAUGGCUGAGUUAGAGAAACGACGAGGUUGAAGAGAUUGAUGUAGCACGGACUCCAACAAAUAUGGUGUCAGAUGGAAGUCGUGCUGGUGGCGUGUGCCGUACUCCUGGACGUGAAUGCUUGUUCUGGCCCAUGCCACCCUACUACUCCUACUACUUAUAGUAGUAGUAUCGAGGAUUUGAGGUGCUGGUUAUGUACAACGAACACAUUAACAUAUGGCCCACCUCACACUGUGGCCAAAUUUCCGGGAGUCUGUGCUAGGUACAAUUAUGUAUUCGGAAAAUGUUUUUUGCCUCGUCGCAGCACCCACUCAGAGAAGCGACUCGAAAGCCAUUCAUAAAUUUAGUAAGUUUAUCACAGGCAUAUCAUUUUAUUACAUACAACAGGUCAUCAACCCACAACGACAACGUGGAUACAUUAUAAAUACUAAAGUUUUCAUCACACAACAAAUAACAAGCAAUGAAAUGAACUUCAACUCAACCAAUCCUCGUCGUUGGAAACACUUGCUUUGAACCACAAGUGAUUCUCUGGGAAUGGCCAGCUACUGUCAAUCUCGAGACCAACGCAGGACUGAUCAUCCAGGCUGAAGCGACCUACUAUAUCACGACCAGGGUAGGGAACCACCGCAAUGUCCGACGUAUAGAUAUAGUUGCUUCUCAUAAAUGGUAGUAACGUUGUGUCAAUAGCAGUUUGAUCGCCUUUCACCAUCAUUGGAUAGUUUUGUCCAAGGAAGAGCGAGUUUGCUCCAAGACUAUCAAUACGGUACCAGGGAGAAGGUGUUGGCGCUAGCACAGUAGUAUCCAUCCCGAAUACCAUACAACGGGUGUUGGAAUAGGUCCGGAGAGUGCGACCAUGGGAGACAACACCUGAUUCCUUAGUAGUAACAUCAGCAGUGGGCUGUAUACAGACAAGAAGGAGUGAUCCAUCGGAAGUUGCCAGGCGCCACUGAGUAUAUCGGCCCUCCUUGUCCUCAUCUCCCCCUUGGUUAUAAAUUUUUUGAAGUAUAGGUGGUGGAAUGUCCACAGGACCUUGGAAACACAAGAAGAAGGUUAAUUAGUAGAGAAGGGAAACUUGCUAACUCGCAUGCAUGUGGAUGAAACAAUUAUAAUUACGGUGGAAGACAAACGUACCGAAACUACGAGGAUCCCAUGCAAAAACAGUGCCACGAGUGGUGGCAGCUAACACAAGACCCUCGUAUUCAAUUGCAUCACAGUACACAUCCGUGUAUAGAAACUGAUUUUUGAGCAAUAUCCAUCCAGUCGAACCACGACGGAUAGCAACAAACUUGUCGAAGAUAGCAACAACUUGAUAGUUCUUGUAAUUCCAAGAGCGGUUGGGAACUCGAGAAAUUGCUAUGUUCCGUAGACGACAAUCCCCAUGAUCAUAUUUGAACGUACGUAGAUCAUCUGUGUGCUCAACCUCAGGGCACUCGGAGAUUUUUGGAAGUGGAAUUUGCUGAUGAGUGUACACAUUCACAAGUUUCCACUUGCAAUUGUACCCAAUAUAAACAACCCAAUCUCCAUUUGCGCCUGCCCAAGCCUUGCCCUCAAGCAAUGGCAUCUUAACAUCAUACGUAUCAUUAUCAAGCGGCAUCAACUUGCACAAGCCGAGGCUUCCCUCGCCCCCGCACCAGUCAGCAGCACUACAAGAAAUAUGUCAACUAGCGACCUUCUGUCAGUGACCCUGGAAGAAUUGGUCAUAGAUCCAUGACCAUUUCAGACCAAUUGGUCAAAAGCUGUUCGGGGGGCUCCAAACCCUAAACUAUAAUGACCAUUUUGGUCAGAAAGGUCAUAAUUUCCUUACACGAAAUGGUCAUAAAGCAGAUAGCACUGCUCCUGUGCCUUAUUUCUAGCUGAUCAUGACCAAUAUAGAUGGUCAUAACCUUGUAAAUUGUGGUGGGUUGCUAUGACUAGACGCCACCUCAUCAGUUUUUCCUAUGUGUCAUGUCCAUGUGGCAGUUUUUGCCCUAGGUUGUGAAGCAACCUAUAUUUCUGUCAUUCCCAAAAUUCCCAAAAAAAUCUCAUAAAUUCUUUGGGUCAUAUAUUCGUCAAAUAUGUAAAAAACCUUCCUUGCCUAGUUCAAAAAUAAUUCAAAAAUAUUCAUUUUCCUAUUAUGUUCAGAAAACACUUUGUGAAGGAAGUACCACUUUGGCAUGUCCAAAUGGUAUCCAUUUUCUACAGUGCUUUCCUCUACCCAAAUAACCAUUCUCCACCAAUGCCAGCUCAAUCCAUUCAUUAUUUUGAGCCGAGCUUCAACAUUCGUAUUUAUGUCCAGUCUGGUAGUUUGCAAAGCAAGUACCACCUAGGCUCCUCCUUUUGAGCUGAAAAUUUGUGAAGACGGUCUCUUAGUAACUGAUCAUCCUCAGCCAAAACUCACGCCCAUUAGCCAUGUACAUUUCCCGUACCGCUAAUCAAACACUUGGCUGCUAAUUCAUGUUUGAGCAUCGAUCGGUCUCCUCGUGAGAAUCUUAUGUUGUAAUUUUCUUCCUAGCACCUACCUGGGGAGUGCCCAACCCACUAGACAUGCCUAGGCUGCCCAGAACACAUGGCAACGCCAUGGUCAUGCGGUGACCACGCGGCGGGCAUGCGAGUUUACGCGCUCUAGAGUUGGGGGCCCCGGCCACCGCCCAAACCUCGACGUAUCGCCACCAAACCAUGUAUUUAUGAUUAAAUAGGUACUUAUGUAACUAUAAAUGAUUUUUGGAAAAAAAUAAAUAGUAAACUAUGAGGCAGCUGCAGUUCAAAUUUGACCCGCUUCCAACUGAAUCGGUGGGAAUUUGUCUUUUUCACCAGAGGUGGAUCAAAACUUUUGACACCCAACCAUUUUGUCAAUUGUGCAUUAAAUAUGGCCUAGUAUUUUAGAAAAUUGAUUUGGUCCAAUUUUGCAACAAAAUAUAUGGUAGGUCCUUCACAAAAAAACUCAUUUCGGGCACUUAGGAAAUGGAAAAUGUAUUUUCCGUGCAAAGAAAAUGAAAACUCCCUUAGGCAACAUUGUUUGGAAUUUCAAGAUGCACCCUUGUGCACAAUAUGAGAUCAUUUGAACAAACUAUGCCAAGAAUGUGGCGAUAAGAUUGAUCAUUUGGCUUGAAAGCCAUGAAUCUUCACACAUGAUAGCUCAUUUCUGAGAACACUUUUUUAAAAUAAUUGCCGUAUUACAAGUUUAUUAUUUUUCCUGGAAACAUGGUCACAUAUAAUGACACAAUGCGAAGGUUUUCCAAUUUUUUGUUUUUUUUUUGAAUUUUUUAUGCCCGUUUCAAAAUGCGGUCAAAACGGCGGGCUUGACCGUUCCUAGCUAGUGGUUGAAUCUUGGAUCUUUUUGGUGUUUCUAUGAUUAAAUAGAUACUUAUGUACCUAGAAAUGAUUUUUGGAAAAAUUAAAGAGCAAACUAUGAGGCAGCUGCAGUUCAAAUUUGACCCGCUUCCAGCUGAAUCGGCGGGAAUUUGUCUUUUUCACGAGAGGUGGAUCAAAAAUUUUUACACCCAACCAUUUGGUCAACUGUGCAUUAAAUAUGUCCUAGUAUUUUAGUAAAUUGAUUUGGUACAAUUUUGCAACAAAUCUAUGGUAGGUCCUUCACAAAAAAACCUCAUUUCGAGCACUCGAAAAAUAGAAAAUGAAUUUUUCAUGCAAAGAAAAUGAAAACUCCCUUAGGAAACAUUGUUUGGAAUUCCAAGAUGCACCGUUGUGCACAAUAUGAGAUCAUUUGAACAAACUAUGCCAUGAAUGUGGCCAUAAGAGUGAUCAUUUGGCUUGAAAGCCAUGAAUCUUCACGCAUGAUAGCUCAUUUCUGAGAACACUUUUUAAAAAUAAUUACCAUAUUAAAAGUUUAUAAUUUUUGCUGGUAACUUGGCCACAUAUGAUGACACAAUGCGGAGGUUUUCCAAUUUUUUGAUUUUUUUUGAAUUUUUUAUGCCCGUUUCAAAAUGCGGUCAAAACGACGGGCUUGACCGUUCCUAGCUAGUGGUUGAAUCUUGGAUUUUUUUGGUGUUUCUCUGAUUAGAUACUUAUGUACCAAGAAAUGAUUUUUGGAAAAAUUAAAGAGCAAACUAUGAGGCAGUUGCAGUUCAAAUUUGACCCACUUCCAGCUGAAUCGGUGGGAAUUUGUCUUUUUCACGAGAGGUGGAUCAAAACUUUUUACACCCAACUGUUUGGUCAAUCGUGCAUUAAAUAUGUCCUAGUAUUUUAGAAAAUUGAUUUGGUACAAUUUUGCAACAAAUAUAUGGUAGGUCCUUCACAAAAAAACCUCAUUUUGGGCACUCGAAAAAUAGAAAAUGAAUUUUCCGUGCAAAGAAAAUGAAAACUCCCUUAGGCAACAUUGUUUGGAAUUCCAAGAUGCACCCUUGUGCACAAUAUGAGAUCAUUUGAACAAACUAUGCCAUGAAUGUGGCCAUAAGAGUGAUCAUUUGGCUUGAAAGCCAUGAAUCUUCACGCAUGGUAGCUCAUUUCUAAGAACAUUUUUUUUAAAAUAAUUACCGUAUUACAAGUUUAUUAUUUUUUCUGGUAACUUGGUCACAUAUGAUGACACAACGUGAAGGUUUUGCAUUUUGUUGAUUUUUUUUUUUGAAUUUGUUAUGCCCAUUUCAAAAUGCGGUCGAAACGGCGGGCAUGACCGUUCAUAGCUAGGGGUUGAAUCUUGCCAAAAUUUUGUUGGAUCUCUGAUUAAGUAGAUACUUCUUUACCUAAAAAUGAUUUUUGUAAAAAAUCAUGAGCAGACUAUGAGGCACCUCUAGUUCAAAUUUGACCCGCUUCCAGUUGAAUCAACAUAGUUUUAUCUUUUUAUAAAAGGUGGAUUGAAACCUUUUGGCACCCAACCAUUUGGUAAAUUAUGCAUUGAAUAUGGACUAAUAUUUUAUAAAAAUAUUUUGGUCCAAUUUUGCAACAAAUAUUUGGUACGUCAUUCACAAAAAAACGCAUUUUGGACACUCAAAAAAUGGAAAACAAACUUUUUUGCAAAAAAAUGAAAAAUUCCCUAGUCAACAUUGUUUGUCAUUCAAGAUACAAACUUGUGCACAAUGUGAGACCAUUUUUUUUAUUUUUUCAUGUGUAAAAGUAGAAGAAAAACAAAAGAAAAUACACAAAUCACAUAUACUCUAUUCCCAUUGGUGGAGUUGGUCUGACACGGAUUGAUGACAUGGCGCCCAUCCAUCCAUCAAUCAUCCCACAUCCAUCCAUCCAUUUAUCUAUAGAGAACAAAAAAGAAAAAAGAAAAAAGAAAAUGAAAAGGGGAAACCCCACAGACCCACCCACCCCGAUCCAUCCAUCCCACACCCCCUCUCGUCUCCCACCCACCCCGAUCCCAUCCCUCCCAAACCCUAACCCGCACCCGCACUCCUCCUUCCUCGGCUCCUCGCUGCCGCCACCUCCUCCCCAUCCCGUAGCGGCGCCCACCGCGUCACCUGCCGGCCGCCCUCGUGGGUGGCUGUGUCCACGGCAACGACGGAGGCCGCGGUCGGUCGUCUCCCAAUCCGCCUCUCUCCCUAACGCCAGACCCAAUCCGCCACCGUCCUCUUCUCCAGUCGCACCGGCGACCUCCAACCUCAUCGCCGGCAGCCCCUCCCCUUUCCUCCUAGAUCGACUCGAGCUGCUCAUGUCGUGGCCAGAUCUGGCAGGAACUCCCUCUAAGGGAGUCCUGGAUUAGGGGGUGUUUCGAUAGCCAGACUAUACCUUCAGCCGGACUCCUGGACUAUGAAGAUACAAGAUUGAAGACUCCGUCCCAUGUCCGGAAGGGACUUUCCUUGGCAUGGAAGGCAAGCUUGGCGAUACGGAUAUGAAGAUCUCCUACCAUUGUAACCGACUCUAUGUAACCCUAAUCGUAUCCGGUGCCUAUAUAAAUCGGAGGGUUUUAGUCUGUACGACGACAUACACAUCUACAAUCAUACCAUAGGCUAGCUUCUAGGGUUUAGACUCCUCGAUCUCGUGGUAGAUCUACUCUUGUACUACCCAUAUCAUCAAUAUUAAUCAAGCAGGACGUAGGAUUUUACCUCCAUCGAUGUAGCGACCAGACCUCAAACAGUCUGAUCUCUGUGCUCCGGUGUCAUCCCUGGAUCAGUAAUGCUGACACCACACGGUACUCGGAGGAUUUAUAACAGAGUAGCAAUCACACACUUAUUACAUCGAGGGUCUCCAUAGAGAAUUUAUUACAAUAAAUAUGGCUUAAGGCUAUCUAAUAACGAUAACAGCGGAAGGCUUGGAAGAUAAGUGAGUCCAUCAACCCCAACAGCAUCACUGAGUAUAGAACCACGACCUAAAAACUCCUUAAUCGUCGUCUAAAAAGUCUGCAACAUUAACAUUGCAGCCCGAAACGGGUCAGCACAUGGAAUAUGCUGGCAAGGUAACACAUAGAGAGUAAUGGAAUGAAACAACUAUACGAUAUGCAUAUUUGGCUGCUGAAAAGCUCUAUGGUUACAGUUUUGCGUAAAGCCAAUUUUCCCCUACUUCAAAGGAAUAAAUUUAUUUAACUAUCAUGGUAGUUGUUAAACAUUGAGAAUGGUUGACAACAUUCUCAAUCCCAAUUAAGCAUCAUCAUCAAACAAAACCCAAUCGAAUUAAUUUUAGAGUAACAUGUUGAGAUUCACAUGAAAAUCCAGGUACUAGAUACUCAAGAUGUCCAUAACCGGGGACACGACUAAUCAUGAUUAGUUUAUUACACUCUGUAGAGGUUUGCGCACUUUUCCCUACAAGACUCGAUCGCAUCCGUUUGGUUUCUCGCACUGCAAGGUGUUUGAGAAGAUGAUGACCGAGACAUAGUCUUUCAGAAGCGCUAGCACCUUACGAUCGGGUAGACCGUACCACCUACAUCCCCUACAUCUGCUAGUCUACCACUGUAAGAGUUCGCACGACUUAGUCAACUAUGCUAGAGCCCAUAAUAGCUUGUGGCUGCACACGGAAGUUUCUAGUAUGAAUAGUCUCAUGAUCCCUUUGAGUCUGGGUGGCGGUCCAAAAGAAAACAGGCAAGUCCUGGAAUACCCAGGUGCCUCAAUCCACCCAGAUGUGUGUUUAAGUUGCCACCUUAGAUAAACCAUUAAUUAACAAACUCACAUCUGUCAUGGAUAUCACUCACCCAAUCCACGUCUACUAGCAUAGCAUGGCAUAAUAAGCAAACGCAGAAGUAACUCCCAAAGGUUUGAUAAUAAAUAGGUAAUAGGUACUACAUCAACUACUUCCCAUCCCACAAUUUAAUUAGAUCCUAAUCAUGCAAUGUGUGAGGAUUGAUCUAAUGCAAUAAAACUGGGUAGUAGGAAAGGUAUGAUCAAAGUGUUACUUGCCUUGCUGAUGAUCCGGGAAACCUAGCGAUUCGAAGUAACAAGCGGCGCACUCCGGGUAUUCUAUCACAGACAAACAAACAAGCAUACAAUAAGUACUCAUCUAAUGCACAGGUAAAACUCAAAUAAGAGAUCUAACCAGAAGAUUCAACUUAAGAACUCCGGAUUGCAAAAAGAAUCAAAUCGAACGAAGCAAUGAAAGUCAAACGGCGAAAGAAAACAACUUCGUUCUACUAAUCUGGAUCUAAGGCAAAUUUUAUAGUAGCAAAAACUUAUUUAAGUUGGUUAAACGGAUAGAGGGUUUCGAGACAAAACUCCAGGCGCUUGAAUCGCCUGAUUCCGAUAAACGAGCGAAAAGUUAUACUAAAAAGAAAAUCGGAUCAGGAAUCGCGAUCAGAAAAAUCACAGAUUUAAUCCGAGAAAAAGAAAAACGACGAACGCUCGCUAAAUUAAAUAAACCGGAAAAACCGAUCUAUUUAAUAAACGAAACUAAAAAAAACUAACGGAAAAACGAUGGAAAAACCGAAUGGUUUUCCGGAAAAAAACGGCGCGGAAAAUGAGGCGGCGGCGGACCUCGGCGGCGGCGUCCGGCGGCGCGGCGGCAGCGGCGGCUUGGGGCUGGGGCGGCUAGGGUUUGGCCCGGGGUGGGCUGGCUUAUAAAGCCUAGUGGGCCGGGAGUCCUAGUCGGACACGGCCCCUAGGUCGGUUCGUUUUUUUAAAUAUUAUGUACAGAAGAAAAAUAAAAAGAAAUACUAAAGGACUCCAAAAAAUCCGAAAGAAAUUUUCACGGGCUUCUAAAAUCAAGACUCAAAAGGUGAACAUUUAUUUGGGGCCUAAAUGAAAUUUUGAAAACGCACAUUUUUCCUAAAUUCAAAUAAAAUAACGAAAAACUCCAAAAUAAAAUCUUAUUUGAUUUUAUUAUUAAAUCCUCAAUAUUUCUUUAUUUUGUGAAAGUCAUUUUAUUCCCUCUCUCAUAUUUUUGUAAUAGAAAUAAUUGAUGAUAAAAUAAAUAAAAUCAGAUGAUCCUAUUCUCAAAAUUUGAGAAAACUCAAAUAUGAAAAUAACGAAAUCCCCAACUCUCUCCGUGGGUCAUUGAGUUGCGUAGAAUUUCUAGGAUCAACCAAAAUGCAAAAUAAAAUAUGGUAUGCAAUGAUGAUCUAAUGUAUAACAUUCCAAAUUGAAAAUUUGGGAUGUUACAAACCUACCCCCCUUAAGAUGAAUCUCGCCCUCGAGAUUCGGGUUGGCUAGAAAAUAGGUGAGGGUGGUCCUUGAGCAAAUCUUCCUCUCGUUCCCAGGUUGCUUCAUCCUCUGUGUGGUGGCUCCACUGAACUUUGCAAAACUUGAUAACCUUGCCGCGGGUGACUCGAUUGGCAAACUCGAGAAUCUUAACGGGUCUCUCGUCAUAGGUCAAAUCGUUAUCCAACUAAAUAGUUUCCAAAGGCACUGUGUCUCUCAACGGUAUGUCAGCCAUCUCCGCAUGACACUUCUUCAACUGGGAAACGUGGAACACAUCAUGAACUCCUGACAAUCCUUCAGGUAAUUCCAACUUGUAGGCCACUUCUCCCAUACGCUCCAAAACUCGGUCCUAAAAAUCGUGGCGCUAACUUCCCUUUAACUCCAAAACGCUUUGUUCCCCGAAGUGGAGAUACUCGAAGAUAAGCUCUAUCUCCGACUUCGUAAACUGUCUCCUUGCAUUUAUAAUCUGCAUAACUCUUCUGCCUGGACUGGGCUAUCUUGAGCCUAUCGCGAAUCAAUUUCACCUUCUAUUCAGACUCUUUAAUCAAGUCAGGUCCAAACAACUGGCGGUCUCCAACUUCGUCCCAUGACAACGGUGUCCCGCACCUCCUUCCGUACAAGGCUUCGAAAGGGGCCAUCUUUAAACUAGUUUGGUAACUGUUGUUGUAAGAGAACUCUGCAUAUGGCAAAUUAUCGUCCCAACUAGAUCCAUAAUCUAGCGCGCAUGCUCUCAACAUAUCCUCCAAAAUCUGAUUGACUCUCUCGGUCUGUCCAUCUGUGUGUGGAUGAAAAGUUGUACUGAAUUCUAGCCUGGUACCCAAAGUUUCGUGCAACUGCUUCCAGAACUUUGAGGUAAACUAGGUUCCUCUAUCUGGAUACUCCUUGGAACUCCAUGCAAACAUACGAUCCUGGUCAUGUAUAUAUUUGCCAACUUAGCACUAUUGUAAGUGGUCUUUACCGGGAUGAAAUGAGCUAACUUCGUCAAUCGAUCGACUACAACCCAAAUUGAGUCAUAGCCUGAACGAGUCCUGGGUAAUCCCGUGAUAAAAUCCAUGCCUAGCUUAUCCCACUUCCAUUCGGGUAUCGGCAAUGGUUGUAACAAUCCUGCUGGCUUCUGAUGCUUUGCCUUUACUCUCUGACAUACAUCACAAACUGCUACAUACUCCGCAAUAUCCUUCUUCAUUCCGGUCCACCAGAAAAUAUCCUUCAAAUCCAAAUACAUCUUGGUAUUUCCUGGGUGAAUCGAAUAUGGUGAGUCGUGUGCCUCUUGCAGUAUCAACUUCCUGAUCUCCGGGUCAUUGGGCACAUAAACACGGUCUUCAAACCAUAGGGUGUCGUGCUCAUCCUCACGAAAUCCUUUAGCUUUUCCUUUGCUCAGUUUCUCCUUUAUAGCGGCAAUCUCUUUGUCAGUCUUCUGAGCUUCUCUGAUUCUAUCCAUCAAGGUUGACUGAAUCUCCAAUGUUGCUACAUAGCCUCUCAGAACUAUUUCCAAACAUAGUUCACGAAGAUUUUCUGCUAACUCCUUGGGUAUUUCUCCCGUCAUUAAUGUAUUGACAUGGCUCUUACGGCUUAAUGCGUCAGCUACUACAUUAGCCUUUCCGGGAUGGUAUUGCAAUCUCAUAUCAUAAUCCUUGAUGAGCUCCAACCAUCUCCUUUGUCUGAGAUUCAACUCCUUCUGUGUGAAAAUGCACUUCAAACUCUUAUGAUCUGUGUACACCUCACAAUGGUUUCCAAUGAGGAAAUGCCUCCAUGUUUUCAAAGCAUGCACUACGACUGCUAACUCCAAAUCAUGCAUGGCAUAGUUCAACUCAUGAGGCUUCAGUUGUCUUGAGGCAUAUGAAAUAACUCUCCCUUCCCGCAUAUGCACUGCUCCAAGUCCUCGACGUGAAGCGUCGCAGUACACCUCAUAAUCUUUGGUCUGGUCUGGCAAAAUCAACACUGGUGAGGUAACCAAGCGUUUCUUCAACUCAUGGAAACUAGCCCCACAUUCCUCCGUCCAUAUGAACUUGGUAUCUUUCUUUAACAACUCAGUCAUAGGCUUCGCAAUCUUUGAGAAAUUCUCAAUAAAUCUCCGGUAGUAUCCUGCGAGUCCAAGAAAACUUCGGAUCUCUCCAACCGUGGUUGGUGCUUCCCACUUGGUCACGGUAUCAACUUUAGUGGGAUCAACUGCUAUACCUUCUCCAGAUAUAACGUGUCCGAGGAAUCCUACUUCCUUCAACCAAAACUCACAUUUGCUGAACUUGGCAUAUAAUUGAUGUUCUCUGAGCUUUCCAAGUACCAAACGCAAACGCUCCUUGUGUUCCUCUUCAUUCUUCGAAUAAACCAGGAUAUCAUUAAUGAACACUACGACGAACUUAUCCAAAAACUCCAUAAAUACUUUGUUCAUCAUGUUCAUAAAAUAGGCAGGUGCGUUAGUCAGACCAAAUGACAUAACGGUAUACUCGUACAGCCCAUACCUGGUGGUAAAAGCUGUCUUAGGAAUAUCCUGUUCUCGAAUCUUCAACUGGUGGUAUCCUGAUCGCAGAUCGAUCUUGGAAAAUAACUUAGCUCCUUGCAAUCGAUCAAACAGAUCAUUGAUCAUUGGUAGUGGGUACUUGUUCUUGAUCGUUACUUCAUUCAAUCCUCGAUAAUCAACAACCAUCCUUAAUGAUCCAUCCUUCUUUUCUACUAGAAGUACUGGCGAUCCCCAAGGCGAAGAACUUGGGCGAAUAUAUCCCUUAUCCAGUAACUCCUUAAUCUGCUUCUUAAUUUCCACCAAAUCCUUUGCUGGCAUCCUAUAUGGUCUCUUUGAUAUUGGCCCUAUGCCUGGCAAUAGCUCAAUUAAAAACUCAAUAUCUCUAUCCGGUGGCAUGCCUGGCAACUCCUCUGGAAAUACUUCAGGGAAAUCCCUUACCACUCAUACUUCCUCCUGCACAACUCCUGUUAGGCAAUUUACUUGAGUCCUCUUUGGCACAUGCCGGGAUACAUACUUGAUCCUUCUCCCUUCUGGUGUGGUAAGCAAAAUUGACUUACUAGCGCAUUCAAUAUUCCCUUCAUACUUUGAUAACCAAUCCAUGCCUAAUAUCACAUCCAAUCCUUGAGAUUCCAAGACUAUUAGGUCUGAGGGAAAAACAUAGCUACCAAUCCUUAAUGGUAACCGAUCACACCAUAGACUGGCCAUAUAUUCUGCUCCAGGCGAGGUUACUAACAUGGGUGACCUAAGGGCUUGGGUUGAUAGGUUAUACUUAUCCACAAAUCCCCUUGAGAUGUAUGAAUGCGAUGCACCAGUAUCAAAAAGAACGAGUGCAGUAAAUGACUUAACCAAAAACUUACCUAUUACUGCAUCGGGCUGAGCUUCAACCUCCUCCACGCUAACGUGGUUCACCUGUCCCCUGUUGAAAGGGUUCGGCUUCUUUCCAGAACUUCCAUUGCCAUUUUGGCCUUCAGGACAUUCAUUGACAUAAUGUCCGGUCUUCUAACACUUAAAGCAAGUGACUUGGCUCAGGUCCUUCUUGGCUGGGGUUGAUGGGUUGGCGCGAUUCUGUCCAUUGCUUCCUCCAUUGCCAUUUCCAUUCUUGGUGCCAUUGUGAUUGUGCGAGCUACCUCCUCCAUGGGUAUCCUGAAAAUAUUCUCCCGAUCUAGGGGUAAAACGUGGCUUCUGCUGAGCUCCUGAAGUGUAAUUUCCUUGUCCAUACUUCCUCUUGCGAUUCUCAAUUUGCUGCUGCUUCCCUUCAAUCAUAAGAGCAUGAUCUACCAACUCCUGGUAGUUGUUGAAGGUGGCUACCAUCAACUGCAUGCUCAACGCAUCAUUCAGUCCUUCCAGAAACUUCUCCUGCUUAGCUGCAUCCGUAGCGACGUCAUCUGGGGCAUAACGUGCUAACUUACUAAAGUCCUCCACAUACUGGCCAACUGUCCGUCCUCCUUGGCGCAAGUUGCGAAACUCUUCUUCAUGGCCAUAGCUCUUGCUGAAACAUGGGCAGUACGAAAAGCCUGUUGAAAUUGGUCCCAUGUGACAGUGUCGACAGGGAAAGUGGCUGUGAAAUUCUCCCACCAUGAUGCUGCGGGUCCUUCAAGCUGAUGUGCGGCAAACUUCACCUUCUCCGCAUCCGUACAUCCUGCUGUGGUCAACUCUCUAGCUGUCUUGCGGAGCCAAUCAUCUGCUACUAUCGGCUCGGUGCUACUGGAAAACACCAGCGGAUUCAGCCUAAGUAAUCGGGCUAAGUGAUCAACAGGUGGUGGUGGUGGUGGUGGGUUCUUGUUGUUGUUCCCCUGAUUCUGAUUCUGGACUAGCAACUGCAUCAAUGUGUUCUGCUGCUGGAUCAACUGGGUGAGCUCCGGUGGAAAGGCAAAUCCGAGGUCACGUCUCGGAGGCAUCUGAGGGUUUUAGAAAAGAUGAGAUGUAAGAAUAGAGGGGGUCUAAAGAGAAAACACUACCCAUAUGCACAUGAGGGAAAAACAAACAAUUCACUUCAUUCAAUCAAACAAGGGCAUACAAUCGAUCUAACUAUCGCCAAAGGUGCUCAGACUACUAUAUUUACAUGGUGGACUACUGCUACUGAUGAGGUGGUCUACUAGAAAUAUUCUUCGGUUGCAGACUCCAUGAUAUCUGCUCCAGCUUCAUCAACAUAGUCAUCAUCGCUACUAUCUGGAUCCAAGUCGGUGUCGUCGAUGAUGAUGUAGUCUUCCGGGCUAAUCUCCUUGGGUUCUUCAUCUUCAUCUACUAGUGUAGGGCCUCCCAUAAAUAUUCCAAUCUUCUUGAUCAGGUCGUCAUUCUUCUCCACCAAUACUUCAAUUUCCUCUUCAUAAUCUUCACGUGUAGCCUUGAGUUCUUCCUCCAGUUCCUUGAUUCUAGUCUUAGCCUUCUUCAGAUCUAUGAUGUCGGCACACAUCUGGUUCUCCCGUCGUCGAAUGUGCUGGUUUAGCUCCUGGAUAAAAGCUGCGAUUGAUCUAUCCUUCCUGGUGCUGAUCGUCUCCCAGUGUUCAUCUCGGCGCCCACAAAUCUGGUAGAUAGUAUCCUUGAGAUCCUUGCGGUAGACUUCUCCAGUGCGUCCCAUGGCGAUGUGAGCUGCCAUGCUCUUUCCUAGACUCCAAGUUGGUGCAUCAAAAGAAAACUCUAUGGGCUCAGUGACUGGCAUGAACGUCCUUCCUGGAACUUGAACUUGAAUCAUCCAGCGCUCUUCUUCAGGUAAAGUGGCGUUGUAGGUUCUGGUGAAGCUUGGUACUCCUAUGUUCAGGUAUCUAGUGACUUCCUUCAAGUGACGUCCAAAGGGUGUAUCUUCAUCCGGUUGCGUGAACUUGUUCCUUGCAUCUGCCAUCCUAAAAGAGUAGAAAAGAUGAGAAGUCAGAAGAGAAGAGAGUGAAUAGUGAUCUAGGUCUUUUAGCUUAGUGGUCGUGUCCUACAGUCAGCGUGUGUUUUGAUACCAUCUCUGUAGCGACUAGACCUCAAACAGUCUGAUCUCUGUGCUCCGGUGUCAUCCCUGGAUCAGUAAUGCUGACACCACACAGUACUCGGAGGAUUUAUAACAGAGUAGCAAUCACACACUUAUUACAUCGAGGGUCUCCAUAGAGAAUUUAUUACAAUAAAUAUGGCUUAAGGCCAUCUAAUAACGAUAACAGCGGAAGGCUUGGAAGAUAAGUGAGUCCAUCAACUCCAACGGCAUCACUGAGUAUAGAACCACGACCUAAAAACUCCUUAAUCGUCGUCUAAAAAGUCUGCAACAUUAACGUUGCAGCCCGAAAUGGGUUAGCACAUGGAAUAUGCUGGCAAGGUAACACAUAGAGAGUAAUGGAAUGAAACAGCUAUACUAUAUGCAUAUUUGGCUGGUGGAAAGCUCUAUGGUUAUAGUUUUGCGCAAAGCCAAUUUUUCCCUACUUCAAAGGAAUAAAUUUAUUUAACUAUCAUGGUAGUUGUUAAACAUUGAGAAUGGUUGACAGCAUUCUCAAUCCCAAUUAAGCAUCAUCAUUAAACAAAACCCAACCGGAUUAAUUUUAGAGUAACAUGUUGAGAUUCACAUGAAAAUCCAGGUACUAGAUACUCAAGAUGUCCAUAACCGGGGACAUGGCUAAUCAUGAUUAGUUUAUUACACUCUGCAGUGGUUUGCGCACUUUUCCCCACAAGACUCGAUCGCCUCCGUUUGGUUUCUCGCACUGCAAGGUGUUUGAGAAGACGGAUGACCGAGACAUAGUCUUUCAUAAGCGCUAGCACCUUACGACCGGGUAGACCGUACCACCUACAUCCCCUACAUCUGCUAGUCUACCACUGUAAGAGUUCGCACGACUUAGUCAACUAUGCUAGAGCCCAUAAUAGCUUGUGGCUGCACACAGAAGUUUCUAAUAUGAAUAGUCUCAUGAUCCCUUUGAGUCUGGGUGGCGGUCCAAAAGAAAAUAGGCAAGUCCUGGAAUACCCAGGUGCCUCAAUCCACCCAGAUGUGUGUUUAAGUUGCCACCUUAGAUAAACCAUUAAUUAACAAACUCACAUCUGUCAUGGAUAUCACUCACCCAAUCCACGUCUACUAGCAUAGCAUGGCAUAAUAAGCAAACGCAGAAGUAACUCCCAAAGGUUUGAUAAUAAACAGGUAAUAGGUACUACCUCAACUACUUCCCAUCCCACAAUUUAAUUAGAUCCUAAUCAUGCAAUGUGUGAGGAUUGAUCUAAUGCAAUAAAACUGGGUAGUAGGAAAGGUAUGAUCAAAGUGUUACUUGCCUUGCUGAUGAUCCGGGAAACCUAGCGAUUCGAAGUAACAAGCGGCGCACUCUGGGUAUUCUAUCAUAGACAAACAAACAAGCAUACAAUAAGUACUCAUCUAAUGCACAGGUAAAACUCAAAUAAGAGAUCUAACCAGAAGAUUCAACUUAAGAACUCCGGUUUGCAAAAAGAAUCAAAUCGAACGAAGCAACGAAAGUCAAACGGCGAAAGAAAACAACUUCGUGCUACUAAUCUGGAUCUAAGGAAAAUUUUACAGUAGCAAAAACUUAUUUAAGUUGGUUAAACGGAUAGAGGGUUUCGAGACGAAACUCCAGGCGCUUGAAUCGCCUGAUUCUGAUAAACGAGUGAAAAGUUAUACUAAAAAGAAAAUCGGAUCAGGAAUCACGAUCAGAAAAAUCGCGGAUUCAAUCCGAGAAAAAGAAAAACGACGAACGCUCGCUAAAUUAAAUAAACCGGAAAAACCGAUCUAUUUAAAAAAACCGAAACUAAAAAAAUCGGCGAAAAAACCGACGGAAAAACCGAACGGUUUUCCGAAAAAAACCCGGCACGGAAAACGAGGCGGCGGCGGACCUCGGCGGCGGGUCGGCGGCGGCGGCGUCCGGCGGUGGCGNNNNNNNNNNNNNNNNNNNNNNNNNNNNNNNNNNNNNNNNNNNNNNNNNNNNNNNNNNNNNNNNNNNNNNNNNNNNNNNNNNNNNNNNNNNNNNNNNNNNNNNNNNNNNNNNNNNNNNNNNNNNNNNNNNNNNNNNNNNNNNNNNNNNNNNNNNNNNNNNNNNNNNNNNNNNNNNNNNNNNNNNNNNNNNNNNNNNNNNNNNNNNNNNNNNNNNNNNNNNNNNNNNNNNNNNNNNNNNNNNNNNNNNNNNNNNNNNNNNNNNNNNNNNNNNNNNNNNNNNNNNNNNNNNNNNNNNNNNNNNNNNNNNNNNNNNNNNNNNNNNNNNNNCUGGCUUAUAAAGCCUAGUGGGCCGGGAGUCCUAGUCGGACACGGCCCCUAGGUCGAUUCAUUUUUUAAAAUAUUAUGCGCAGGAGAAAAAUAAAAAGAAAUACUAAACGGACUCCAAAAAAUCCGAAAUAAAUUUUCACGGGCUUCUAAAAUCAAGCCUCACAAGGUGAACAUUUAUUUGGGGCCUAAAUGCAAUUUUGAAAAACGCACAUUUUUCCUAAAUUCAAAUAAAAUAACGAAAAACUCCGAAAUAAAAUCUUAUUUGAUUUUAUUAUUAAAUCCUCAAUAUUUCUUUAUUUUGGGAAUUCAUUUUAUUCCCUCUCUCAUAUUUUUGUAAUAGAAAUAAUUGAUGAUAAAAUAAAUAAAAUAAAAUGAUCCUAUUCUCAAAAUUUGAGAAAACUCAAAUAUGAAAAAUAACGAAAUCCCCAACUCUCUCGGUGGGUCAUUGAGUUGUGUAGAAUUUCUAGGAUCAACCAAAAUGCAAAAUAAAAUAUGGUAUGCAAUGAUGAUCUAAUGUAUAACAUUCCAAAUUGAAAAUUUGGAACGUUACAAUCGAGAGGGCCCGAACCUGGGUAAAACUUUGUGUCCCCCGAUCUCGUGGUAGAUCUACUCUUGUACUACCCAUAUCAUCAAUAUUAAUCAAGCAGGACGUAGGGUUUUACCUCCAUCAAGAGGGCCCGAACCUGGGUAAAACUUCGUGUCCCUUGCCUCCUGUUACCAUCCGGCCUAGACGCACAGUUCGGGACCUCCUACCCGAGAUCCACCGGUUUUGACGCCGACAUUGGUGCUUUCAUUGAGAGUUCCUCUGUGUCAUCGCCGUCAGGCUCGAUGGCUCCUACGAUCAUCAAAAGCGAUGCAGUCCAGGGUGAGACCUUCCUCCCCGGACAGAUCUUCAUCUUCGGUGGCUUCGCACUGCGGGCCAAUUCACUUGGCCGUCUGGAGCAGAUCGAAAGCUACGCCCCUGGCCGUCAGGUCAGAUUCAGAAGUUUAAACUACACGACUGACAUCCACGGAGACUUGAUCUUCGACAGAUUCGAGCCACUGCUGAGCGCGCCGCUCUCUCAUGACGAGCAUGAUUUAGCUCUGCCGCCGGAUAGUGCCCUGGAGGCCGCACCCGCGUCAGCUCUGACCCCUAAUUCGGAGCCGACUACGCUGAUCGAGGAUGGGUGGUUGGGCGCCACCUCGGGGGCUGCGACCCUAACAGCGAUUGAGCCAAACACCAGCACCGUACUCUGCGAGACUCGUGACUCCAAGGAGCCGGACUCCUCUCCAGACUCCGAACCCUGCGCGCCCCUGCCGAUCGAAUCCGGUUGGGCGCCGAUUAUGGAGUUCACUGCCGCGGACAUCUUUCAGCACUCGCCUUUGGGCGAUAUCCUGAAGUCAUUGAAGUCUCUCUCUUUAUCAGGAGAGCCCCGGCCGGACUACGGUCAACAAGGUUGGGGUACGGACGAUGAAGAAAUUCAAAGCCCACCCACCACCCACUUCGUAGCCACUAUCGACGACUUAAAUGACAUGCUCGACUUCGACUCCGAAGACAUCGACGGUAUGGACGCCGAUGAAGGAGAUGAUGAAGAACCAGCGCCUACUAGGCCCUGGAAAGCCACCUCGUCAUAUGACAUAUACAUGGUGGACACCCCAAAAGAGGGAGAUGGCGAUGGAACAGCGGAGGAUGACCCCUCCAAGAAACAGCCCAAGCGCCAGCGUCAGCGGCGCCGCUCAAAAACCCGCCAAAACAAACACGGUGAUUCCAGCACGGGAGAUAAUAAUACUCCAGAAAGCGCCAAAGAAAACCCCCUCCAGCAAGAUUUAGCACAGGAGGAUGGAGAAACUAGCCCUCAUGAGAGAGCGGUAGACAGAGAGGACGAGGACGAUAAUUAUAUGCCUCCCUCCGAAGACGAGGCAAGCCUCGAUGACGACGAAUUCGUCGUGCCAGAGGAUCCCGUCGAGCAAGAGCGUUUUCAAUGCAGGCUUAUGGCCAUGGCAAGAAGCCUCAAGAAAAAAUAGCAACAGCUUAAAGCUGAUCAAGAUUUGCUAGUCGACAGAUGGACUGAAGUCCUCGCGGCCGAAGAGCAUAAACUCGAACGCCCCUCCAAGAGCUACCCAAAGCGCAGGUUGCUACCCCAAUUAGAGGAGGAAGCACUUGAUGCGGCCGACCGGCCACCUCGUGGCCGCGACAGAGAGGCCUCUCGGCCCUCCACUCAAGCCGCACCCCGUACCAAGGCACGGGAAUAUGCGUUGGACUUACGAGAUAUGUUGGAGGACAAGGCAAGGCAAACAAGAUCGAUUUACGGAUCGCGUGGGUGCCCCACGGCUCGAGACGGUAACUAUCACGCCGACCACAAAUUCGGCAGGGCCGAACACAGUAGACAAGGCUCAUUGGAGCUACGUCAUGAUAUAGCCUAGUACAGAGGCGCCGCACACCCACUCUGCUUUACAGACGAAAUAAUGGAUCAUCAAAUCCCCGAGGGUUUCAAACCCAUAAACAUCGAAUCAUAUGAUGGCACAACAGAUCCUGCGGUAUGGAUCGAGGAUUAUCUCCUUCAUAUCCACAUGGCCCGCGGCGAUGAUUUCCACGCCAUCAAAUACCUCCGACUCAAGCUUAAAGGACCAGCUCGGCAUUGGCUUAACAGCUUGCCAACAUGAUCAAUCAGUUGUUGGGAGGACCUAGAAGCCGCAUUCCUCGACAAUUUCCAGGGCACUUAUGUGCGACUCCCAGACGCCGAUGACCUACGUCACAUAAUUCAGCAGCCAGAGGAAUCAGCCAGGCAAUUCUGGACACGGUUCCUAAAAAAGAAAAAUCAAAUAGUCGACUGUCUGAAUGCUGAGGCCCUAGCAGCCUUCAAGCACAAUAUCCGCGACGAGUGGCUGGCCCGGCACCUUGGACAGGAAAAGCCGAAAUCUAUGGCAGCACUCACGACACUCAUGACCCGCUUUUGCGUGGGAGAAGACAGCUGGCUUGCUCGUAGCAACAAUAUGACCAAGAACCCUGGUAAUUCGGACAUUAGGGACAGUAGUGGCAGGUCGCGUCGCAACAAGCAGAAGCGCCGCAUUAACGGUGACAAUGCUGAGGAUACGACAGUUAAUGCCGGAUUCAGAGGCUCUAAAUCCGGUCAGCGGAAAAAGCCAUUCAAAAGGAAACCUAGGGGCCUGUCCAGUUUGGACCGGAUACUCGACCGCUCAUGCCAGAUACAUGGCACCCUCGAAAAGCCAGCCAAUCACACCAACAGGGAUUGUUGGGUGUUCAAGCUGGCAGGCAAGUUAAACGCCGAAAAUGAAGACAAGGGGCUGCAUAGCGAUGACGACGAGGAGCCCCGGCCGCCGAAUAACAGUGGACAGAAGGGUUUUCCCCCACAAGUGCGGACGGUGAACAUGAUAUACGCAACCCACGUCCCCAAAAGGGAGCGGAAGCGCACGUUAAGGGACAUAUACGCGGUAGAGCCAGUCGCCUCAAAGUUCAACCCAUGGUCCUCCUGCCCGAUCACCUUUGAUCGAAGGGACCAUCCCACUAGCAUCCGUCAUGGCGGAUUCGCCGCAUUGGUUCUAGACCCAAUUAUUGACGGAUUUCAUCUCACUAGAGUCCUUAUGGACGGCGGCAACAGCCUGAACCUGCUUUACCAGGAUACAGUGCGGAAAAUGGGAAUAGAUCCCUCGAGGAUUAAGCCCACCAAAACGAUCUUUAAAGGCGUAAUACCAGGUGUAGAGGCCAACUGUACAGGCUCAGUCACACUGGAAGUGGUCUUCGGAUCUCCGGAUAAUUUCCGAAGCGAGGAGUUAAUCUUCGACAUAGUCCCAUUUCACAGUGGUUAUCACGCACUGCUUAGGCGAACCGCAUUCGCUAAGUUCAAUGCGGUACCGCAUUACGCAUACCUUAAGCUCAAGAUGCCAGGCCCUCGAGGAGUAAUUACGGUCAAUGGAAACACCAAACGCUUCCUCCGAACAGCGGAGCACACGGCGGCCCUUGCAGCGGAAGUACAAAGCAGCCUCUCCAGGCAGUUCUCCAGUCCGGCCACUAAACGACCGGACACCGUCAAGCGCUCCUGGAGUAACCUACAACAAGACCGCCUGGCACGAUCUGAGCAGGUGUAGCAAUGCGGCCCCAACCCCAAUCCUUGCAAAAAGGCGACGCCAGUACUUCACGUACAUAACUACGCUCUAGAGAUACCAUGGGCAUAGGGGAGGGGCACCAUCAUGGCACGCCCAAAACACGACUUAAACCGUACCAGGGGCUGCCGAUUUUUUAAUCUUCUCUUACUUUCAGGACUUCAUUCUUCGGAAGGCCUGUUCGGCAGUUCAAUUGCCGCACAAAUGAUGCAAGAACCAGGGAAGCAGACAAGCCAACGCCGCAUUACGGAACUCCUAGGUGGUCUCUAUCACGAGCAGUAUACCCGUUUCGCAUACUAUUCUGCAGCUUGCCCCUGGAACGGACAUGUUAACUAGUCCAACCUUCCACUUAUCGCAUUACUUGUAUCGUUCUGCCUAGAUCGCACCGUUUUUUAAUAAACAAUGCAUAGCUUUCAUCUAUUUUUGCAUUACCUUUUUUUCUUUAUAUAUGUUCCUUAACGACAUGUUGCACCCGUACACGUUGGUACGGCCAAAAUACGCUAGGGGCUUUAGUAUCCCUCAAUAUGGUGUGAGAAGUCCGAACACUUUAACAAGUGCGGCACCCCGAACUUAUAGCAUUAUAUGCAUCGGCUCCGAAUCAUGUCUUGGGUCAAUAGUUGGGUUUGCCCGGCUCCUAUGUUUUGGUGCCUUACGUUCCGCUAUAUCGGCUAAGGUAGCACUAGGAGAACCACUGCGAUUGUGCCCCAGUUGAGCUGGGUCGAGCACCUCAGUGGAGAAAGCUAAAACUGACUGUCAUGAUGAGGCGAGAGCUGGUCGCUGUUCAAGAGGUUUUUUCGAGUCCCUAAAGACUUAUGCUGCUUUGGGCGAGAAACCGGUUCUGUCCGGCCAAGGCGUGGAUAGCGCCCCGAACUCAGUCUUCCGAAUACCAGGGGCUUCACCGAAAUUUAAAAUUAUAGAAUUCUAUGGCUAAGUGAGAGUGUUCACGCAUUAUAGUCCGAUUGCCUUGUUCGUUGGGAUGAGCGCCUCCCUCGAAGGACCCAGACAUGGGAAAAAGAGCGCUCAUGUUUAUCCCCGAACACCCCAGCACUAGCAGCACGGGGGCAGAAGCCGACGACUCGCCAUCUCUCAGAAUUGAUAAACAGCCGCAUAGAAGGUAAUAUUUUAAAUUCAAACAGCAUUGCUUAGCGCAUAUGAACAAGUUUUCAGCGCACAGGACAAAACGAGCGAGUUUUACUCAAAAAUUACAUCCAUAGAACAUUCAUCCGCCACAAGGCGGGCACCCUUCAGAACAUCCUUAUAAUAAUUCUCGGGCUUGCGAUGCUCUUUCCCCGGCGGUGGCCCAUCCUUCACAAGCUUCUCAGAAUCCAGCUUGCCCCAGUGCACCUUAGCACGGGCAAGGGCCCUACGGGCACCUUCAAUGCAGACGGAGUGCUUGAUGACUUCGAGCCUUGGACAGGCCUCCACCAGCCGCCGCACCAGCCCGAAAUAGCUUCGAGGCAGAGCCUCUCCAGGCCACAACUGAACUAUGAGGCCCUUCAUGGCCUGUUCGGCCGCCUUGUGGAGCUCGACCAGUUGCUUUAGCUAGUCGCUCAGGGGCACGGGGUGUCCGGCCUCAGCGUACUGAGACCAGAACACCUUCUCCGUCAAGCUGCCCUCCUCGGCUCUAUAGAAUGCGGCGGCAUCGGACACACUCCGGGGAAGAUCUGCGAACGCUCCUGGAGAGCUCUGGAUUCGGUUAAGUAACAAGUAAGUCACGUUUAUGUGUUUGCUUUGCAUAAAGAAUGCCUUACCCUCCGCUAUUUUCUUCACCUCAUCCAACUCCUGGAGGGUCUUCUGGGAUUCGGCCUUGGCAGACUUGGCAUUUUCAAUAGCCACCGCGAGCUCGGACGCUCACGUCUUUGAGUCAAGCUCCAAACUCUCAUGUUUUUCCAUGAGAGCCUGGAGCUCUUGCCGUACCUUGCCAACCUCGGCCUCAUACUUCUCCCGCUCGGUGCGUUCCGUGGCCGCCGUCUUCUCGGCCUCGAGCAGCGCUUGCUUAAGGGUCGCCACCUCAGACGUGGCCCCUACAAUAGCCACGAUAAUCCUGUCAUUUUUUUGGCAAUUGCACCUUUUUAUAUAUAUUUUUAAACAAGGUAUUUGUUACCUUUGUUGUCCUUGAGCUGCUUCUUGGCACGCCCGAGCUCUUGCUCGGACCGCUCGAGGUUCUGCUUUAGCGUGUCCACUUCUGCAGUCAGUGCGGCGGACGCCAGCAGGGAAGCCUGCACACGCAUAUUGACUCCUUUUUGUUAGACUCCUGCGAAUUUUAUUUUGAUCCUCUAUUCGGCUUUUCUUCCCGAACGCCAAACAGAGCAUCAGGGGCUACUGUCUAUGCGGUAAUAUUAUUUACACAUUCUUUACUUACCUCAAAGCCUGUUAAAAGGCUAGUACAAGCUUCUGUCAGUCUGCUCUUGGCGGACUGAACCUUCUGGACCACCGCACUCAUAAUGGUGCGGUGCCCCUCGUCGAUGGAGGCGCCUUGGAGCGCCUCCAACAGAUUGUCAGGCGCCUCCGGUUGGACGGAGGUCACCGGCACGGUGGGCUUGCUCCUCUUGGAAGGAGGUCCCCCGCCGGACUCUGGAACCUUUGAAGGUUCCGGAGCGGUGUCUAGCCCAGGGCCGGACUUGGAGCCCUGGGGGGUUUCACCCCCUUUACUCCUGGAGUUCGGGAGGUCGCCUCGCAGCGCCUCCAGGACCACCUCCUCCCGGAUUGGAACCUAUUGGGACAACACUUUGGUGUCGUCUGUAGGGCGGGGGGAGGAGGCCGUCGGAAGCGAGUUGACGUCCGACGAGUCCAGUGAGCCGCUCGACGACGUGUUGAGCCGGUCUUUGGGUGGGCUGCAUAAACACAUUCGACAUAAGGGAAAGCUGUGCAAUAAACGAAUACUAUGAAUUACUCUAGUAUCCGGAUACUUACGAUUUCGCCAGGGGCUUGGCCCUGGGCGCACACUCCUCUCUGCCAUCGUCGGCGUCGGUGGAGUAGUUCGGAGGAAGGGUUUUCCCCUUCUUGGACCCUUCGGCCUCCCCAGUUGGGGCGGCCUUCCUUUUCUUCCCUUCCCCCGCUGGAGGGGGAGGGGUCUCUUCUUCCUCCUCCCCGUCUUCACGGGAGGAAUGCGCCUCGGAACCGUCGGAUGAUGGAUCCGACACUUCCUGGCGUCGGGCACUCUUUCGAGUCCCCAUGGCCUUUUUUGCGGCCUUCUUCUCCGGCACCACAUAGGGUGCCGGAACCAGCAGCUUCGCCAAGUGAGCGUCCGCUGGGCCUUCGGGCAAAGGAGCCGGACAGUUGAUCUGUCCGAAUGUCACCUGCCAAUCCUGUCAAAGGUAAGGGAGUUUAGAUCCCGCAUGGAGUCAAACUAUGAAAAACUGAUACCUUGUAAAAGGAAAAAACAGCUUACCGUGAGAGCAUGACGCUGCGCACUGAAUCCUCGAUCCUCGGUAGCGGAUGCGGGAGCCACGACGCCCUUGAAAAGCACCUUCCAGGCAUCUUCGUACGUCGUGUCGAAGAGCCUGCUCCUAGUUUGGUGCCGCGCCGGGUCGAACUCCCACAGGUUGAAAGCCCAUUGUUGGCACGGGAGGAUCAAGCGGAUGAGCAUAACCUGGACUACGUUGACAAGUUUGAGCUUCUUGUCCACCAGGGUUUUGACGCAUGUUUGGAGUCCGGUCAGCUCUCCUUUUUUACCCCACGACAGGCCCAUCUCUUUCCAGGACGUGAGCCGCGUUGGGGGUCCGGACCAGAACUCGGGGGCUGCAACCCACUUAGGGUCGCGCGGCUCGGUGAUGUAAAACCACCCCGAUUGCCACCCCUUCAGGGUCUCCACAAAGGAGCCCUCGAGCCAUAGGACGUUGGACAUCUUGCCCACCAUGGCGUCUCUGCACUCCACCUGGUUGCCGUGCACCACCUUCGGCUUGACAUUGAAAGUCUUGAGCCAUAGACCAAAAUGGGGGCGGAUGCGAAGGAAAGCCUCGCACACAACGAUAAACGCCGAGAUGUUGAGGACAAAAUUCGGGGCCAGAUCAUGGAAAUCCAGGCCGUAGUAGAACAUGAGCCCCCGGACAAAUGGGUGGAGAGGAAAACCCAGUCCGCGGAGGAAAUGGGGGAGGAACACCACCCUCUCAUGGGGCCUAGGGGUGGGGAUGAGCUGCCCCUCUUCGAGAAGCCGGUGCGCAAUGUCGUUAGACAGGUAUCCGGCCUUCCUUAGUUUUUUGAUGUGCCCCUCCAUGACGGAGGAGACCAUCCACUUGCCUCCCGCUCCGGACAUGGCUGGAGAAGGUUGAGGUGGGGAGUGCGGACUUGGGCACUGGAGCUCGAGUGCGCAAGAAUGGAUAGGCAAAGGAGGAAGAAGGCGUAGGUGAAAUGGUGGAUCCUUAUCCCCUUAUAUGGGUGGACGCGACUACGCGUCCCCACCAGCCUGGUAAAACUCGCUUAUCUCCCAAGCGCCGUAAUCAAUGGCGCGGUUGGGUUACCCACGCCCAUAUUGAUGAGAAUCCCGGAAUAAGGGGACACGAUCUCUGCUUUAACAAGACGUGCCAAGGAAACCGCCUCGCAUAACGUGCCGAGAUGGGACAGUAAGACGGUUCGAAUGAAAUCUUGGCCGUGGUGUGAUGUCACACUACGGAAUACGUCAGCAGAUUAGAUUUGUGUAAAUAUUAUUCUCUCUAUGGCAAUAUGUGGAAACUUAUUUUGCAGAGCCGGACACUAUCUUUGUGGUCAAAAUCUUCUAUGAAGUACUUGGAGGAGGAGCCCGCCUUGCAAUGCCGAAGACAAUCUACGCGCCGGACUCGUCGUCAUUGAAGCCUGGUUCAGGGGCUACUGAGGGAGUCCUAGAUUAGGGGGUGUUCGGAUAGCCGGACUAUACCUUCAGCCGGACUCCUGGACUAUGAAGACACAAGAUUGAAGACUCUGUCCCGUGUCCGGAAGGGACUUUCCUUGGCGUGGAAGGCAAGCUUGGCGUUACGAAUAUGAAGAUCUCCUACCAUUGUAACCGACUCUAUGUAACCCUAACCCUAUCCGGUGCCUAUAUAAACCAGAGGGUUUUAGUCCGUAGGACGACAUACACAUCAACGAUCAUACCAUAGGCUAGCUUCUAGGGUUUAGCCUCCUCGAUCUCAUGGUAGAUCUACUCUUGUACUACCCAUAUCAUCAAUAUUAAUCAAGCAGGACGUAGGGUUUUACCUCCAUCGAGAGGGCCUGAACCUGGGUAAAACUUGGUGUCCCCCGUCUCCUGUUACCAUCCAGCCUAGACGCACAGUUCGGGACCCCCUACCCGAGAUCCGCCGGUUUUGACACCGACACCCUCCCUCCCACCUCGCUCCACAUCCCGAUCCCGAUCCAGAUCGACAGAGCUUUUGGCAGCUCCUGCUCGGCUGAUCCCCCCACCCAUGAUUCCUCUCCGCCGCCGCCGCCGCCAGGCUCUCCCCCAACCCCACCGGCGACCCCAUCCCCGCCGGCGACCUCUGUCCUUAGUUCCACCCACCCAUGGAUGGAUGGGAUGGGGCGCAUCUGCUCCGGCGACUGCCGCCAGAUUCGCACCCACCCAUGGAUGGAUGGGACGGGACGCAUCUACUCCGGCGACGACGACGCCGCGGUCGGAUUCGCACCCACCUGCAGCGGCUGCUGCACCAGCAGCGCGACGGGAUCUGCCCCCUUCUCAUAGUGGGGCGCGGCACACCACACCACAACAAAGCUUGCUGCUGCGGUGGCCCUCGACGCUGGUGCAUCUCCGACGACCUGGACUAGAGGCCCAAGGUACGUACGCCCUCUCCUACUCCUCCUCCUUGCGCCCCCAUCCAGCUGCCAAGUCAAUCUCCUCUCAUAUGUGGUAGACUCAUGGUGCAGAUUCGACCCCUCCCCCAUUUCCUUUCGUCGAUGCCGGACCAUGACCACGACCACGACCAUGAGUCCAUGACCUCUUCCCAUGCCAUGGUGAGCUCCUCCCCUCCCCCUCUCUGUUGUUUGCUCACUGUUUCAUAUCAAUCCAGCCAUGGAUGGAUCUUCUCCUAUAGUUUGCCAUGGAUUUAUAUUUGUUUCCACUGAUGCUGUUGCUGAUGGAUGCACUCCGGCAUGCUUUGCGUGCUGCUAAACUAUGUGCUUGCUAUUCUUGUUGAUUUCUAGUGUUCGUCAUGGAUGGAUGGUCUGUGGUGCCAUGUAUGUUGAGCUCCUUCAUAGAGGAUCAGAUUACCUAGAUUUGUAGUUUAGUGAUGCCAAGUGAUCUAAAUGUGCGGACCAAAUGAUCUCAUAGUUUAAAUGCACCAUAGUUUUGCAUAACCUCGGUACAUUUACAUGCACACGCAUACACAUUUGACUGCUGAGUGUUUGAAUUAUUGGAAUGUGGGGGUUGGUCUGUUUAUUCCCAUGUUCUUAAGUUUUGUGUAUUUAGACUGUAACUCUUAAGAUAUCACUGUAGCUGUAAGUAGACUGCAAGUUACCAGCAGAUUGUAAUGGCAGUCUAAUUAUCACUUUAAUUUUCUCCCAAAUGAUUGUAAGUGGACUGUACGUUGUGACACUACUGAUGCCAGACCUACAAACAGUAGUUUGAUGGAUUUGUAGGUUUUUUUGGGCUGUGGUAUUACGAUAGUUGUAGCUCACAUGUUUGAAACCAGGUCCAGUUCCAACCCGAUUAGGAUUGGCCUUUUAGCAUGGGAUAGUUGGAUUCCUGUUGUCUCUUGUAGCACCAAAUGCUAGUAUGUGUUUUACUAAAAGUCAUCAGAUAGUUAACUCACUGUGAGAUGUCCACACUUGUUUUGUUAACAAACAUGAACUGUUAAGUCAUCUAUUCCUAGCUAUUGCUUUUGUUCAGUAUAUACGUGUGCUUUCUGUUCUUUCGUUCUAUUCACUAUGUGAGUACAGUUUCUUGUUGGCACCAAGGUGUUUGAGAUGGUCUUCCAGUUGGUGCAUGAGGAAGAGGAAGUGAAGUCAUUGAUUUGUCCAUCGAGGAAGAGGAAGCGUGAAGUCUUUGAUUUGUCUAGAGGGUAAGUCCUCGGUCUGUCCCACUCUUCCUUUGCUAUGUGAUUGUGACCUCCAUGUGUUAUCUACUUAUUUGGACACUUUGGUUCAUAUACUGUUCUUGUGAUUUUCCAAUGCUAUGUCAAAAAUGAAUCUAUAACCUUUAAUGAAUUCAAUGUAUGAUCGUGAUGAAAACGAAUGAAUGAAUGAUAUCAUACCAACUUGUUUUUUGCCCUUGAUCAGUAUCAUUUGUGGUAGCUCCUAAGCAACAUGAUCUUUUUCUUGCUCCGAGAUCCCAAGUGUGGUGUUGUACUUUUGUUGUGCUUGAUUGAUGUCCUGCUAGCUGCUACUGUUAAUUGUUACUGCCAUGAUGUUAACACUGCUUAGAAUAUGUUCUGCACCUUAAUUCUAGUAGUAUUUGUUGUCAAAAGCAUGAUUGUAUUGUGAGCCAUCAAUUUCUUGGAGUCUUCUUAGAGCUUGCUGGUAUUUACUUUUUUCCACCAAUAUAAUAUUUGCUAAUAUUUACUCAUGGUUGCUACUAUUAUCCGUGCCCUCAUGCAUUAGGAUCGACCCCUAGCUGCUUGUGUAUUUGUUUAUUACUCUGUUCAAUAUUCUUUUCCUAGCUGUUGUAUGUUUGAGGAUAUUGCUUUGAUUCUAAAUUCACAGCCAUGAUAAUGAUCGUUUCCUGUCUUUUACAGGAGCUCCAGGCUCAAGAAGUUGGAAAAAGGGAACGCUUCAUCUUUGUAGCUAAUUAUAUGUUCCUGGAUGAUGUGAGUGGCUAUUAUAGUAUUUCAUAGCAACACUUUUGUAGUUGUUCUAAAUUCCUGGAUGAUGUGAACUAUGGCAUGAUUGUAAUAUAUAUAAUAUACUCAUUUUGGUCGCCAUUUAUGAAAAUUUGUGUGAUUGGGGCUCUCUGGACCAAAAUACUGGUUAUUUUAUUGUUGAUACUUUAUUGUUGAUAUGUCGGAAAUGAAACAUAUACUAUUUGGGCCCUAAAAAGGCCACAAAUCAAACAAUUCAGGAAAAAUGAACAAAAUUACUAAAAAAAUCAAUUGUGAAAAGGCGAUGGCCAAGUAAAUAAAAAGGCUGAGGCCCAAAAACGAAAUAGAUCACAAAAAGGCCAUGAUCCAAGAAAUAAAAAGGCUAAAAUGUUGGGCCAGGCCCAUGUAGCUACCGAAAAUAAACAGAAAAAAUAUAUGUUAAAAAGGCUGAAUUAAUGGGCUCGGCCCAUGUAAAACAUCGAAUUGGACCGGGCUGAUUCUUGUGCCACAUCAGAUUGCCACGUCGGAUGCCUACGUGGCCUGGGGAGGCUGCUAGUGACCAAAACAAAACAAUAGGCAUAUUUUGGUCGUAAACUUCCACGACCUUCUCACAGAGAAGGUUGUUA